RNAcentral lists this long non-coding RNA (46378 nucleotides) under Solanum tuberosum (potato). RNAcentral's name for it is "long non-coding RNA (STUB_LNC007653)". The stretch from base 24241 to 24363 matches the Rfam family "Plant small nucleolar RNA U3". The record is from RNAcentral. Lineage: Eukaryota; Viridiplantae; Streptophyta; Magnoliopsida; Solanales; Solanaceae.
UUUUUUUUUUUUUAUUAAUAUAGUUUGUAAAAUAUCUGGAGGUUGAUAGUGGCCUUAAUUUGAGGAUUAAUGUCCCUAAUUUUGAAUUAUUAAGCAAACUAGUUGUGGCCGGCAAUCACAUCAACUUGGACAAAGCUAAAAAAUUGGAGAAAGUUACUAAUCUUUAAGUAUAUUUUAUACUCCAAAAUUUAUUUUUAUUUAUUCCGUAUUUGAUUUGAAAUACUCCUUAAAAUUUAAGAAACUGUAAUUAAAAUGAUGAAAUUAUAAUAAUAUAAGUUAUGUUGGAAUUAGUUAUGCUGAGAUUAUUUCUAAUUGAAUAUUUGGUUUAUUGUAUUCAAAAUAAUAUGCAUUGCAUAAAUUUAUUAUUUCCAUCGUUCGUUAAGAAAUAUAUUUAAUAUGCAUUGAUACUCGUUAUUUUCAUCGUUCAUUAAGAAAUAAUAUGCAUUGCAUGAAUAAAUUGAUAUUAUCUUAUUAUCUAAAGUAUAACGAAGUAGUCAUUUAUAAAAGCGAGAUUAGUAACUAAAAAUUAAAGUAAUUUAUAUAUGUACACGUUAAAAAUCAGUUACUUUAAAACCUCACUAAAUUGAUACUCGUUUAAUUAAUAACCCUCUUUAAAUAAUAUUUUCUUCCAUUUCCGAUUUGGCCAAUAGAAAAAUCAUCAAUUCCGAUAAGAUAAUAUAUUUCCAGAAGACCCUUAUAUAAAUAAUUAAUAUUAUAAGCGAAUAAUUCUUUAUAAUUACAAAUAUAUCUAAGACAAUUUAGUCGAAUAUGACUCUAUUGUGUUCUGAUUUUUUUUGUUAAAAUUUUAAUCUAGUUGAAACGUAUCAUCUUCAACUUUAUCACCAACAUUAUUUUUUUUGAUGGUAUCCAUAAUUUCUUCUAAGUUUUGAACCUCUGAACUGAACAUUAAUCAUUUUCACCCAUCCAACAUGUUAUUAACAUCUAUUUUACUAAGUUAACUGAGAUCAUUAAUCAUGACAUCAAGUUCAUGAAAGACCUUUCCACAAGUGGGUUCAUUUAAAAUCUCUGAAAUUUCAUCUCCAAAUGAAUUUUGCGAUGUCAAAACACUCUUUAAAUUAAUAAAUAUUAAUUUAUCAAUUAAAUAAUAACUAUAAAAUAAUAAUAUUUCAUGGUCUCACUUAUAUUAAUUUAGUGAGAUUUAUUGUAAGUCAUUUUUGUUAUCAUCUAAAGUACUAUAGCCAAGUAGUUUUGUCUUGAAUUAUCGGCCAUGAAAAUGUGUAUGACCAAAGAAUGUGGCGGAGUGGAUGAGAUCCCUCCUCUCUUAAUUAGAGGUUUCGGAUCCAGGUCUUGAAUAUGAAAACAUCACUGGUAGAGAGUGGGUCUUACCAACGAGAAUUCUAAUUGUGGAUACCGAACAUCGAAUGAAAAAGAAAAAAAGAAAAACGUGUGUGAAAGAGGGGUAAGAUUGUAAAAUUCAAAUAAAUUAUAUGGCACUAGAGGGCAAUUCUAGUUCAUUUUGCACUUGUACAUUAACUUGUGGCCUAGCGACUAGCGAGGUGUUGGCUUGUAUAUAGUUUGAGUUACAAGUUCGAUAUAAAAAAUUGUUUGGAUUUAUUGGAGACUCAUCGGAAAAAAAAGUCAACAAUUUAUAUUUUAUAAUAAAAAGGAAUGAAAAAGGUAAAAAGAAUUUGUGCCUUUAAAGUUUAAACAACACAAAGUAUACAAGAAUAAUUACAAAAGACUUUCUAGAUUUUUAUUUCCGUUUUUUCAUCGGUAAACAAUAAUUUUUCUUUUCUAAUUUAUACUUCCAUGUAAAUAGAGAAGUUUGUUAUUUAAGAUAGCUAAUAAAUAGGAGAUCGUUGAAUAGUUUGUUACCUUUUCAACUUUUACUUUCGUGUAAAUACUAAUUUGUUAUUUAAGAGAAACUAAUAAUUAGGAUAGUUGGUUAUUGUUAUUUUAUCUUUUUUCUAUAUAUAGAUGUAUCCUACAUAGGAAUAAAGUUACAAACAUUCAAAACAAUUUUUUUUUAAAUAUUUUACUAUCUUUUAUAUUCUUAUUCAAAAAUUACCUUUAUAUUAGCAAAAUUACAAAUUAUAAUUUUAAUCACAUCGCCCUCGAAUUUUAUCAGUAGUUUAAGAUUGUGGAAUAACAGAAGACUAUGUACAAUCACACAUGAAUUGUCUUUUGCUAGUCCACAAUCUUCUACUACUGAUAAAAUAUCUCGUGUGGUUAUAAGGCUCCAAUAAAUUCAACAAAAAUCAACAAUAAGUAAUCAUAGAGAUAAUAAUUUCAGUCUAUAUUUAUAGAAUCUGUUCAUUUAAUGUAUUAUCUAGUUAUAUAAACUAUAGUAGUUUGAAACAACAAGGUGAUUACUUACUCAUUUAAUUAGAUUACUAAUAAUUCAGGUUUACUAGAUAAAGAAUAUGUUAUUUUCUUAUUAUUGUGUAGAUAUUUUUAUAUUUGUCGUGUAUUAAACUUAAAUAUUAAGAAACUAUUUUUUUUGUAUGUAAAUAAAAAUUCUUGUGUUGGGUGACUCUUUUGAGAGACGAAGAAGAGUCUCCUGGAGAAUAAUAUGUUUAUCUUGUGGUGUAGAAUUCAUCAAACAAAUUCAAUGAAUAUGGGUUCUCAUAUGCUCCGGAUCGGAAUUUCUUUUAUUCUUAAUUAGAAGUUUCAAAUUGAAUGAGUAUGAAAUAUUUUUUGUUAAAAGCAUCCUCCUUAGAGGUGAAGUCAAAAUUUUAAUCUUAUGAGUUCUGAGUUUUUUAUAAGACAAUUUCAAAUAUUAAUAAUUGGAUUCUAAAAUUAAUAUUUUUUUUAUAUUUAAUAAUACAUUGAGCAAAAAUUUAAACGGAAAUGGACCUAAUAAUAUAUAAAUUUUAAUUUUAAUCGAUAAAUUCUAAUAGAAAUAUCAAACAUUGAAAAGAAAAAAAUAAGUAAGACCACUUGUGGGAUAUAAUAACAUAAGUUGAUCAUAUCAAAAGAACUAUAUAUAUAUCUUGUGGUGUAGAACUCAUAAGACAAAUAAAGGAGUUGAUUUGAAAUGGCAUUUGUAUUUAUCUUUUUAUUUUUAUUAUUUAAAAAUAAUAAUUUGUGGCUAUAUAUAUAGUUGAAGCACUGUGGAAGAUAUUAUGAGAAAGAGGUUGCCUUGUAAAAUACUCUUUAAAUUAUGACCAUCAUUUUUAUUUUAUUAUAUUAUAUAUGUGUGAUUAUUAUGAUCACUCAAACAAGAAUCAAGUUUGGACCUACUCUUCAAUUAUGACAACUAUAUUUCUUCUUUCUUUUUGACGUUCUCAAUAGGAACACUUGGUUCUAGUAUAGUCCUUGUAUAUUACAUAUGAUGAUUAAUAAUGUCUUUUUAAUUUCUACAACUUGUCUAUUAAAUACUCUUAAACCUCAUGUCUGCCCUUUUUUGGAUGAGUUUAUUUUAUGUUUGUUUGGAAUAAAAUUAUAGAAUAAUUUAUUUUGAGAUUAGUUAUUCUUGGAUAGUAGUGUUAUUUUGAUAUCACAUUAAAGGUGUAAUAAUAAAUAUGAGAUAACUAAUUUCAUAAUAAUUAGUUUUGAGAUAACUUGUUCCCAACCAAAUGAGUCUUAGAUUCUCAUUGUAUCUCCUUCGAUUGGGCACCAUUUCACCAAACAUGAUUGAGAAGAAUUAAUCUAAAUAACCGUGCAAUCCUUCCGUAUCUAACUCUAUUCAGAAAGUAGCUUAUAAUAUUUUCUUAAUCAAAAUAGAAUAACUUUAUCACUCACCUCCCUCCUCUUCGCAUACUUUGAACUGGAUAAUUGGAGUAUGAAUAAUAUAAUAUCAGAAUUUGACGGUGGAUAAACUAAGAAUUAAGGAAGACUCUAGCUUUAAUACUAUAAUACUAUGUAAAGAAAAUGAAAUUUGAAUUUAACUUUAACCCUAAAAAUUAGCCUAUUAUGUGGAUAAUUAUUCAAUACCAUCAUAUGGUUACAAUUACUCAUUCCCUCAAUCAAAUUAUAAUUCAUGUCAUUACAACUUGAAUUUUGACUUAUUUUUCUAUUUUUCAUCCCUCAAAAAUGUGGAAAAGGUGGGGAAUCAAACAAAGGAAUUGAUUCUAAAGCUAAAAGCAUUUAUGCUAUUGCCCUGAGAGAGGGACAAGCCCUUAUCUGAAAGGGAUGUUCAUCUUGGUGAAGUUGACACAUUUUGUAUAAGAGAUUGAAUUAUUUAAUUUUAUUUUCAAAUAUUAUAAAAUUAUUUCAUCUCUACAUAUAUGGUGAAUAAAGUUGGCACAUGUUAUGCAAAUUAAGUAGAACUCCUUAUAUUAUAAUGCAAUUUUCAGUGAAAUAAUUUGAACAUUCAAUUCUAAAUCUUAAAGCAAUGGAUAAUUAAUAAGGAAUAUAAAAGACCCAUAAUUACUAAUUUCUCCAUUCCAAAACAAAUGAAUUUCUGGGGUGUGCUUUAAGAAAAUUAGUUAAUUACAUUAGUCAAAGGUAAUUUAUCAAUACUAUCCUUUUAUUUCUUCCCAAAGUUUUCUUAAAACUAGAGAUGUAAUUGAAAACCCCAUAAAAAAGAAGGGUAAUUUUGAAAAAAAAUAAAAAAUUAAUACAUUUUUGAAGUUUGAAAAAUUCAUUCAUUUAGAAACAUAAAAAGUGUCAGAAAUUCAUUUAUUUAGUAGCGAUGAGGGUAUUUUUGUAGACACACACAAAUAAUUACGCAACAUAACAAUAUAUUUUUUUUAAAUAGCUAUAACUUUUGUUUUGUGUAUGAAAAUCACUUUUGUGUUGUUAUGGGAAAAGUGAGAAUGCAACUCUCUCUUUUUCUUUUCUUUUGAGUAUGAAAACAACUUUUGAAAUUGUUAUGGAAAAACAGGUGGCAGUGAUGAAAAACAGGUGGCAGUGAUGACUUAUGAUAGAUUUGUGGUGAUAAUUUGAAAGUGGAACAAAUGUACGUCUGAUAUAUGUUCAACGUAUCACACUAUAUAUAAAAGAGAAAAGACAUUAAAUAACACCUGAACUUGUCCUGAAUUUUCAUUAAGACACUUUAACUAUGCAGACGUCCUAUUAGGAGUAUAUCUUGUAUAUGUCAAUGUAUAUCAUUGUAUGUCAAGUGUGUUCAUGACAUACACAUGACAUAUAUGAUAACUCCAUAAUGUCCCAAUCCAGAGUAACAACCAUAAAAUCACGUUUGCCAUUCUCCAUAAAUCAUAUAUGUAAUAGUUUACAGUAAAGAUUUACUAUAAUUUACAAGAGAAAAAUUGGAGUCGCUAUCGGUUAGGCAAAAUAACUUAUUUAUUCCAGACAUGUAAAUCAAGUUAGAAAUAGUACAUUAAACGCACAAAAAAAAAAUCGCAAUGUCUCAAGAAAGAUUAAUGGCACUCCCGCAUAGUUUUUCUAGUUCGUCUUCCAAAACCUUUUGCAGGUUUGCCUUGGUUCGUCUAUAGAUCCAACCUUGAGAGCUCUGAUCCCAGUCAAACCUUGAUGGACCGCUGCAACAAAAAUGUUUCGUGAACACAAUGGAGAUCGGAUGGGUGUGUGUCUGAAUAUCGAAACUUAACACAAACCAGAAAGAGCAAAUGAUUGUAGUAUGAUAUACCAACUUCAUCAGUAAAAGCUUAAAGAAAAUUUAAAAAUGGCAUUGAAGUGAUACUGCUAUAAAUAUAGGGAAACCAGAGAAACAAGUGAAUCUUUUGAAUCCACUGGCGAGUGAACAUGCUCUUUCGUGGAUAAAAUAAUAAUUCACACAGUACGUUUAAAUGUUCUUCCGGGUACUUUUAAUUUAACUAUCUACAUCUGGAUAUUAUUUUCAUAACAGAAAGCAUAUUACGGCCAUAUUGUUACAAUUAUGUAUAGAGCAGAGUACAGGGAAAGCCCCUCAAUGAUAUACACACUCUUUGAACUCAAUGAGCCUAUAAUAAUUGUUUGCUGGUCUAAAUGUGUAAAUAUUCGACUCCUCAUAGUUGUUUCUUAAAUAUUGACUACGAAUCACAGAUUCUUUUUUCCUAAGCAUGUUACAGUCUUAUAUAUACGCUUAAGGAAGUACAAGAAAUGUUUCCAAGUUGAGGAAAAGAGAGAACAAUGAAAUUAUAGAUGGAGGUGGGACAGGGGACGUAUUUGCAGACUGCAUUGUGUUAGAAGGUUGAUUUUUGAUAUGGUCCACACCAAGAUUAUAUGAAAAUAAAAAGAUAAACCAAGACACAUCAGAAAUGCAAUUACAAAGAGAGAGAGAGGCAUUGGUACCUCACUGGUGAAGACAUCCAAAUCUGCCUAUUUGGCGUCUGUUUGUUUAUCACGUAGGUUCCCAGGCUCCCAAGCUUCAGCGUUAAAACCUCAUUCUGAGAACAAAAUCUAGAAUAUCAAGACAAAUGCAGGACAUUGAAAGAAAUAUAUUUUAAUGCUAUUUUAUACUUCUCACCCCAUAAUCCACAUCGAAACCAUCAAUGUCAACUGAGUCCCCAUAUUCCUGUCAUGUAGAAAAACGAUGCAACUGUUAAAACAAUCAAAAAAUGCAGACUGCUAAUCAUAUGUACAACACAACCCAACUCAAAUUUAACUUAGCAGAUUGACAAACAAUUUUAACAAGAAAAGGAAGUGCGCUGCAUGGGGUUAAAAUCUCUUCAUGGAUAUGAAUGCAUGAUGCAUAACCAAUCUUUGGGGUAACAUGUUCUUCAACUACUCGACAAAAAGUAGAGCAAUUUCAAGCAGCCACUUGGGAAAUUCAAUCCAAAUGACAUACAUAAGAGAUUGCACGUGGAUGUUUCAGAAUGCUAGUUGACAGACUAAUUAACUACCAUCAUUCUCAAUUGGCCAUGGAAAUGUAUUUGGAGAAACAAGGCCCCAUUGAAAGUAAAGUGUUUCACAUGGUUGGUGGCUCACGAACAGUGCCUACCUCAAGAUAACCUUCGGAAAAGAGGAAGGAUUAUUUGUAGCAGAUGUGCACUGUGUGAGAGGCACAAUGAGGAUGCCAAUCAUCUUUUUAUUCACUGUGCAUUCAUUAGACAGAUCUGGGAUUUUGUUCUGAACAACAUCGGGGUUAACUGGAAAAUGCCAAGGACGACAAGAGAACUGCUCCAGUGUUGGUACUCAAGAAGAUUUGGUAAGACAAAGAUGAUAAACAUGAAAUAUCUCCCUUCGGCAGCAUGGUGGACCCUUUGGAAGGAAAUGAAUGCAAGCAUUUUUGAAAGCAAAUCAGAAUAUGUAGUUAGUACUAAGUACAGAUGUUUAUCCCAACUGUUUUUUUUUUGUGUAACAUGGCAAUUGCAAAUGAUAUAGAGGCCAUGAUAGAUUUUCUGAGCUCACUACACAAAAUGAAAUGGAGCGACCCCUUGUAAAUUCCCCACGCACCUUCUGGUUGCUGGACUUUUAAUACAAUACCUUUUUAACGAUAGAAAAAGUCCAAGUAAUUUUUCUAAGUAUCAAUAAAUUCCUGAGGGUGAGUAGCGCAAGGCUCACGGCUCGAUGGAUAAUAGGCCCACCCAUCUAACCUUCUCCACAUAAAUACCCAAGCUUUUGUUUAAGAGAAGUUCCUGAUACUAACUAAACUUUUGAAAACAACAAAGAAGAUCCAAUACAAACAAACACUAAUUUUAGACUGACUAAUAAACAUCAGCAACCACCUUGAGUAUCACAGUGCAACCGCUAAGGCCUAAGAUAUAGGAUCAUAUACGAGAAAGUCCAACUAAACUUGAUACAAAUAAAGUUAAACUUAAGUAUAUUGAAUACAUCAGUAUACCUCCAACUUAUCUAGCAAGUCAUGGAUGGUGGCAUUUGCCAGUCUGUGAUACUCAUCUUCCUGCAGCAGAGACCUGUAAAUUUACAAAUUUAGUAUGACGAUACAGACACAUUUUCCUCAAAAAAAUUCCAACUAUGGAAGGACGUUCUAAGAAUUACAAACAGAAAACAACCUCCAUUGUAGAUAUUACAGAGAGAGCAACACACACACAGAGGAGAGAGCGAGAGAGAGAGAGAGAGAGGGGGAGGGGGACUAAGACAACGUUAGUUUCUAUGCGAGAAUCAACGGUACUGUCAUAAGACACAAAAAUCUAAGUAUCAAGCAUUGACUAUUAUGCAGCAAGAUGGGAGCUUUAGCAAUAAAUUGCAAAUCCAUGGGACAAUAGCGCAAAUGUUUUAUGCUGCUCUUCCUUUAACACGUAGAGAAAAGGUGUACCAUUUCAAUCUUCCCAAAUUUACUUUUCUUUUGUCAAGCUUAUCUUUACUUGUCUAGAAAUGCAGUAUUAGCUUUUCAGACAAUAUAAUUUCCCCCAUAUAAGAUCUAUAGGAGCCAGGCAAAACAGUUUCAGACUUAUGUGCAGUUAUUUGAAGCUUCUGAUGACUUCUUCUACUUUUCAUCAUAUUUUUGUUUUACAUCCACCUUAGCUUACUUUUACCUCACAUUACAUCAACCAUGCAACACACCCUCAGUCAAAACAAACCAAAAUAGCUAUUCCUUUAUCACGGGCAAGUGUAAAUCAAACACUAAACUUCAUCUAUUACUCUAGUGCUGGACCACGGCUUCAAAAAUCAGUACAUUGACCUGCAGAAUUCUUCUAGACUAAUUGUAUUACCUACAUUCUAUCCUCACUUACAUUGGAAGUCGAACACAUUGGAAAAUCAAAGAUUCUCUGAGAUACAGUAUAAAAUGAGGACAUUAAGCUGCGUAAUCAAACUAAAAAACUUCAUCUUUGAACAUUUAUGUGUUUACACCCUUUACAGUGAUGCUUAACAAUUACACAAAGGAGGCGGAGAGGGGAAAUUAGAAGGACACGUGUUUGGUAUGAUGGGAAAUUUUUCCUCAAUGAAUUUGUGUUCCACGAAAAUACUAAAAGUAAUUAUGCCACUUACCACAGAAAUCAUUUUCAUUUACAAAGAUCCUUACUCUUAUUCAAUCUCACUUACUUCAAACAAUGGUAAGACAUGGUGGCCGAAGAUUAGGAUAGGAAGAUAGUAGGUAGCUAAGUGUUGUCACAUUUUUGUGUGGGAGAGGCAGGAGUCUAGCCCCCUUCUCCUCUCCUCCUUUUUUGAAAUAUUUUGUAGUUAUUGCAUAGUUUCUUAUUCUUCAAUGUACUACUAUAUGUUGUUGUAUUUGCUUUGUAUCUUGCCACUUGAUUGUCUUAUUCCCUUACAAACCUGCAUUGGGUACAUUUCUAUUGAGUCAAGGGUAUACGGGAAACAGUCUCUAUACCUUCUAUACUUCACAAAGGUAGGGGAUAAGUCUGCCUACAUCCUGCACUUCCCAGACCACACUUAUGGGAUUACACUGAGUUUGUUCUUGUUGUUUAGACAUUGGUUAUUGACCUUAACUACCCAAAAUAUCACCAAAAACUUUACCCUCACAGUAAAAUACUCAAUUCUCAUCAACAGAAGUCCAGUUGGGUUUUUCUCCCCACAAAGAGGUUUGAGGCAGGGAGAUCCACUUUCUCCUUUUCUCUUCAUACUUGCAAUGGAGGGUUUAAGCAGAAUGUUAGAUAAAGCCAAGCAAUUGCAAUGGCUGAAUGGUUUUGAUGUGGGGAGCAUGAUCACUACAAACAUCUCUCAUCUGCUUUAUGCAGAUGACACUGAUAUUUUGUGAGGCAAAUAGGAGUCAAGUUCUUUAUUUGAAUGGAUAUUUUGUGAGGCAAACAGGAGUCAAGUUCUCUAUUUGAAUCUAACCCUUUUGAUUUUUGAAGCCCUCUCAGGUUUGCACAUCAAUAUGCUAAAAAGUGUGAUCUAUCCUGUUAAUGAGGUGCUAAACUUGGAGGAAUUAGCAGGUAUCUUGGGAUGUAGUGUGGGUGAAUUCCCGGCAACCUAUUUGGGGUUGCCAUUGGGUGCAAAGUAUAAGUCAACAGCUAUAUGGGGACGAGUUAUUGAGAAGUUCGAGAAAAAAUUUGCCUCCUGGAAGAUGCAGUACCUAUCGACAGGGGGCAGACUUACACUGAUCAACAGUGUACUUGAUAGUAUUCCCACAUACUAUAUGCAACUUUUUCCUAUUCCUGGCAAAGUGUUGGAACAACUUGACAAGAUCAGGAGAGAUUUUCUAUGGGAAGGGAAUAGUGAGAAGCACAAGUAUCAUCUGGUGGAAUGGCCAAAAGUCCUUCUUCCUAAACUACAGGGGGGGUUAGGGAUCAAGGAUUUGGCGCUGCAUAAUAAGUGUCUACUUAUGAAAUGGUUAUGGAGAUACACACAGGAGGAACAUGUUUUAUGGAAGGAUGUGGUCAGUGCAAAGCAUGGGAUACAGAGUCAUUGGUGCACCAGUCUUUCAAAAGCACCUUAUGGGGUCGGAGUCUGGAAACACAUAUGCAAGCUAUGGGAGAAAUUUUCUCAGCAUAAGCACUUCACAGUGGGGAAUGGACUUCAUAUCAGAUUUUGGAAAGACAAAUGGCUUCGCAACACAGUUCUGAUGGAUGAUUAUCCAAGUCUUUUCAACUUAGCCAGGGAUCCAGACUCAACAAUUUCUCAAAAUAGAGAUGGAGCAACCUGGAGCAUUAUGUUUAGAAGGAAUAUGCAGGAUUGGGAGUUUAAUGACCUGAUCAAACUACUACAGACUCUACAGAGUUUCUCUCUCAACACUCAGGCAACAGAUCAGUUCAAAUGGGGUACUACAGGAGACGGGAAUUACACAGUGAGUGCAGCCUACAAGCAGUCAAGAGCAUUUAAUGCAGUCACUGACCACUGGCCAUGGAAAUUAAUUUGGAAAAUCAAGCUACCGCCCAAGAUCGUCUGUUUUUGCUGGACUGCACUAUAUGAAGCAUGCCUAACUCAAGACAACCUCUAUAAAAGGAAACGCAUCAUUGUGAAUGGAUGCUACUUAUGUCAGAAAGCAGCAGAGAGCAAUAGGCACCUUUUUCUGCAUUGUACUGUUACAGCAAAAUUGUGGAACAUGUUUUACUCUUUUUUUGGACUCAGUUGGGUCAUGCCACAUAGUAUCAAAGAAGCUUAUGAGAGUUGGUGUUGCUGGAAAGUUGACAGCACCAUCAAACAGACUUGGAAGAUGAUACCUGCAGCAAUUUUUUGGAGUAUUUGGAGGGAAAGGAACAGAAGAUGUUUUGAAGGUCUAUCAACUCCUUUACAUUCUCUCAAAGCGGAAUGCCUUAUGUGUCUGUACAGUUGGGUUAAUUUGUCCUAUGUAGAUUCCCUGGAUAGUUUUUCAAAUUUUGUUGGCUCCUUAGUUUUAGCAUAAUUGUACUUGAGCCAGCAGACCAACUGUUUUUGCUUCUACUUUUGUAACUAAUUUGCAUCUUCUUGAUGCCUUCAAUGGAACAUUUACUUCAUCAAAAAAAAAAAAAAUUUACCCUCACACUCUAUCCUACACCUUGCACACUUACCAUAAGUGAUGCACCUCUCCAGCAAAACACCGGACAGACAAUAUUUUCCAAUGGAGAACACUUUCCUCCACACCAGAUGCAUCUGUCCCUAUUUCUACUUCUAACAAUCCUCAAACCGUACACUCAAUACUACUCUUCAAUCUAAUAUUCAGGUCUACUAACAUCCUAGGGCAUGCCCUAUUUCGCAACAGAAAAACAACUAAGAUCGAACUAGUUUCAAGCAAAUUGAAAAUUAAGAAUUCUAGAUAUAGGAUAAUCUCCGUUCUCCAAUUGUUCAAGCAAAUUCUAUAAUCACUACAAAUAAAAGCAAGUAAUCGGAACUAAAAUUUGUUAACCUACCGGUAAUCAAUAGCAGCAGGACCUUCAGAAGCAUCUUGGAGAGGUGACGAGCGGGAACAAUAGCUUCUAGAAACUUUUGAGAGUAACGAUUUGGAUAUAGUACCCGAAGGUUCUAGAAGAUAUUUAUGCGUAGAAGUAGAAAGAAAUGAUCUUUGUAUUAAUGAAGAGGAAUUAGGUUUGAGAGCUCUGCAUAGCGAUUUCCGAAGCAGAAGCAGUUUCCGUGAACAAGAAGACGCCAUUUUUGCUCUUUAGACCAGUUUCCAGUUCCUUCGCCAUUCUAGUUACUUUACACAAGCUGCCAACAGGCCCAAACUUAUUCUUUAAGGUUUAAGCCCAUCAUUUUAUAUACUUUUUUGGGCCUUGCACACUUUGUUUCGAUGAUCGUUAGAUAUUAUUUCUUAAUGUAGCGUAUUGUUGUUGUAUUAUAUCAUAUUAUACUUUUUAAAUAAAUAUAAUGUUUGGAUGUAUUGUAUCGUUUCCCUUUAUUAUAUAAUUUCACACAUUCAUAGUUUGAACAAUAAACCUACAAGAAAUUAUAGGAUACGGGGUGAAGCUACUAUGAAAAGGUGGAAACAAGAAAUAGGUUUUUUCGUCAUUAUCUAACGAUAGAUUUAAAUGAUGUAACAUAAUAAAAUUUAAGUAACAAUCAAAACAAACAUCGUAUUUAAACUAAUAAUACAAUACAACAUAUAAUAACCAUCCAAACAAGGUGUCAAUGUUCGUCAGGAAAAUUAUUACUUGGUAAAAAUUAUCCCCUUUAUUAGCCUAAUCAAAUGGUGAAAAAAAUUACACUUUGUUUUAAUACCUUUUAAUUAUCCUAAAAGUAUCUCUAUCGUUGAUUUUUGCAAUUAUAUAUAUUUGACAUUUGACAUUUGUUUAACCCAAAAAGAAAAAUGUAGAUAUAGGUUUAUGAUCAUUUUAUCCUUACUUAUGUCCUAAGAGAUAAAAAAAAAAUACAUUUAACAUUUUCUUUAUUUAUGUGUUAUUACCUUAUAAUUGAAAUAUUUAUAGACUUUAAUAACAAUUACUAUAAAAAAAAUGUUUUUUUUUAUCUUGAACAUGACAGAUAAUUUAAGAGAGAAAAUAGGGAGUAAGAAUUGGUUUCCAAACUAAAUCUCAUUUUUCAUCGGUCAAAGCAACCCCAACAAAAUAACUGAAACCUCACAAAAAUAGUUUCUUUAAACAAAAGAACAACUAUAAUAUAUGGUAUGUAACAAACUAGACAAUUAAUUAGUUGAUAAAAUGAAUUCCAAAAGGCCAAUUGAAAGAAGAAGUAUGCUGUUAUUUUUUACAUGGAAAUGAAAAAUGAAAAAGGAGUAACAAUUAGUUACUUAGUUGAAAGUUCAUCAACCAUAGAUAGAACUAAUCCCUUCAAGAGAAGAAUUCAUUCAAAUCCAACUAUAUUAGGGACAAGAAGGAAAUUUGGUUGUAAUCGUCGAGCACAACUUUUAGCCAUUGCUCAUGAGUUAAGGCAUCAUCAACAACUAUCUCACAAGUCAUCAUCGAAACAAAAACACAAGGUAAUCAUAUAUAGUGAAAUGUUCUUUUUUAUUUUAUAACAAAGAAAUUCUACGUCCAAUGCAUAAUGGAUAUGUACAUCUACGUUCUCUACUUAAAUAUUUCAAACUUUUGAUCAUGGUUGGAUAUAGAGGUGGAUCGAGAAAAAAAAUUGCUCAAGAGUUCAAACUAUAAAGAAUUAAACACAUAAAUAAAUCACGGAAUCCAAUAUAUAGUAUAUAUACAUAUAACAAUAACAACAUAUUCAGUAUAAUCUCAGAAGUAGGUCAGAGAAGGAUAAGAUAUCUACACACUUUAUCUCUAUCUUUAUGAGACAAAAAUGUUAUUUUCGAUAAACCUUCGGCUCAUAUAGUAUAUAUACAUAAGAAAGAAAGAAAAGACAAAAAAAGUCUUCUUGGUCGAGCUCGUGGCACCGAGCUUGCCUAGUGCGGGUUACCUCUCCUGUGUGAUUUGCAAUUUGUUGCGGAGUGAAGUUUUACCUUGUGCGCACUCAAAGGAUAGUGGCUACGGAUUUCCUUAAUUAUAAAAAAUAAAAUAAAAAUAAAACUCUGCACAUGUAAUUUUCCAGUGAAAGGUCAAUAUUACUUUAGAAUUUGAACUAUUCCUUUUAUAUUGUUAAUACAUAUUCAUAAUCAUGUGUUGCGCUCUUAUCGCUUAAUCAAAAGCACUAGGAUCAAGUGAAAUGCUUUAUUUAUUUUGGUUGGUAUAUAUUGUGUAUUACUCUUGUUAAUAUGAGUUAUUAAAAUUUUGUACAGAAAUGGAGAUGGACAAAAAGGAUUAGAUUGUCAUUUUCCCGUUUGUUUCAUAAAAAUGAUAAGCAAUGGAGGUAUGAGAAUAUUGGAAUACAAGGCUGCAAAGGAGCAAAAAAGAGAACAACUAAUUUUUGUGUAAGUCUUGCUAUUAUUAUUUUCUAUAGUAAUAAAAAUUAUGUGUAUUUUGGAAGGGGAAAAAAUCAUAUUGUUGGUCGGUGCAAAGAAUUUAAACUUCGACUAAUUUAUGUCCUUUUUGUUGUGUUAUACAGAAUAAAUUGAAGGGCUUCUUCAAGGACAUUUUAGGUGUCUGGCAAUUUUGUAAGCAAUCGUAAAUUUUAGAAAUGACAAAAUUAGUUCAUGAAAACAUGAUUCAUUCAUAACGGAUUAAUAAUUUGCUCACUUUGAGAUGUUCAAAUUUUAUCCAAUUCGCCUAUUUUACAUCACCAAUCGUGAUGAUCUAGUAUUCUUCCGUUUAAUUGAAUUUUUGAAAGUUUCUAAUUGAAGUAAAUUUGAUUUUCCUGUGCAAGAUAUUUCAAAUUCAUUUUCAGCUAUACACAUAGUUUUUGACUUUUGUUGCUCGCACUCUUUAAAAGUUUCAACGGAUGUACGUCGGGUUAUCCAAAAGUAAUUACUUUUUGAGAAUCCGAAACCAGAAGAUCAUAGUUAAAUGUUUGUGAACUAUGGUCCACAAAAUAUGGUUAGUUUGAUUAUCAGAUUUGAGAAAUGCUCCUAAAUGAAGUAGUAGAUAUACUUUUGCUUACUGUUAAACAACUACUUUCAUCAUCAACAAUCAAUUUUAAAAGAGUUAAUUACUCCAAACACUUCUAUAUUACUAAGAAAAUCCAAAAAUUAGGAAAUCAUCAAUCAGAUAACAGUAUUUUUAUUUUUUUUAAUAUAGCACCAUGCGAUAAAAUAUUUUUAAUGUGCAUGCGUGCUUAAAAGAACAUCAAUUUGAAACCUCUCUGGAAAAAAAAAAAUCUUACAUAGAUAAUUAUAAACCGAAUAAAAAGAGUCUAAAGGUAAAAAUGCCUUUUCCUUGCUCCUUUUCAUUGCCGAGAUACUGAUGUUAUGUUUUUGAAUUGAAAUAUAUGUACGGAAGCAUAGGAGGACCCACUCUCUAGGUGAUGUGCACGUACACCCGUUAACUUCGAAAAAGAUCAUGUAUAUAUAUAUAUAUAUUUAUAUGUAUAUCUAUCUUGAGACACUGACAGAAAUUAGGAUAUAACUAACAAUGCAUAUAUGAAAAGUAUAGGAGUGUCAUUGUGAUGUUAGUAGGGGUGUACAUGAUCGGGUUGGUUCGGGUUUUUCAAAUAUCAAACCAAACCAUUUGUGUCAAAUUUUUAAACCAAACCAAACUAAUAAAAUUUGAUUUUUUCAGGUUUUUCAACUUCGGGUUGGUUCGGGUUUUUCAAAUACCAAACCAAACCAUUGUGUCGAAUUUUUAAAUUUAUAAAUCAAACCAAACUAAUAAACCUCGAACUUUUUCAGAUUUUUUUAUUUUUUCGGUAAAGUUUGCAUACAAACAUAUAAUUAACUCGUGCUCCAAAUAUUUUUUUAGUCCAACCAAAAUACAAUUAUCUAAGGUGUUUCUUAAACAAAUAACACAAAAUAUGAGAUAAGUACUGAUGAUACAAAAAUAUUUAAUAAAAAAUAAUAAUGAAAUCAUCAUAUAAAAUAAAUAUUGCAAAGUCAUAAUGAAAAUGAUCAUAAUUUAAAAGUACUAAAUCAUGCUAAAAUAAGUUUAAUAAGUAUUAGUUACAUUAUUAAAUAUGAAAAUUAAAAUUAGAUUAUGUAUUUUAAUUGUCUAAACUAAUGUAAAACUAAAGAACAAAUAUUAAAUAUUAUUGUCGGUCUUAGUGUUGAAUUGAUUUUCUUUUUGCAUUAGUAUUAAUUUGAUUUUGAUUUAAGUUUUAUUAUAAUUAUCAACAUCUAUGAACUAUAAUAUUUAUUGGACCAUUCCAAAUUCUAAGUUUUAAACUUAAAAUAAUAUAUUAAAAGAUAAAAACUAUGAAAUAGUAUAAGAAAUAUUUUUAAAAUUAUAUCAAAGUAAAUAUCUUUAUGUAUAAAAUAAAAUUUUAAAAUUACUAUAUAAUGUCAGGUUGGUUUGGUCUCGGGUUGUUUUUUUUUAAUUAAAAUCAAACCAACCCAAAUAUAGUCGGGUUUUUUUUUUCCAAUACCAAACCAAGUCAAACCAAACCACUAGUCGUGUUUUUUUUCGGUUUGACUCGGUUUUCGAUUCGAUUUUGUACACCCCUAGAUGCUAGUACAAGCUAGAGGAUCCACCCGCAAGACCUAGGUUUGAAUCCAGCUAGAGUGUUUAUUUCAUUAUUUUUAUUUUAAGUUUAUCUUAGAGCUCACAUUUGAGCUAAGGUAAUAUUGGUGCACCCAAAGUCUUCAAAUUCUGGGUUCACAUAUCACUUACGUUAUGCGGUGCUUUUAUUUGUGAAUUUUGGAUGAUAUGUAUUUUUGUAUACCAGGGCAGUAACUUCUUUUCGAUUUGGUAUAACUCAACUAUUAUCACAGUCCAUCAGUUAAUCAUCGACCUAUUUUUCAGUUCAUUCCUCUCUUUCAUUUUCAAUUUGUAUGUAUAUAUAAUUGAAUUCCAUGUUCUAUAACACAUAACCUCCUUUUUUUGCAGUAACCAUAAAAGAAAAGUAAAUUCAUCAGUAUGAGACAAUAAGAUUUGUUUGCAUAUAAAUCAUAGUUUUACCCCAUGAAUCCUAGAGCAAAUAGCAACUAUAGUACGUAUAUAUAUCAUCUAUAUAGUUAAAAAGAAAGGAUAAACGGUACAAUAAGGUAUUUGCAUCUAAUUCAUUUGUAUGUGUAUAUCGUAUCAAUUGAUCAUCAAAAGCAACUACAUUCCGAUAAUGUUAUAGGUGUGUUCGUAUGAAGGAAAACAUUUUCUUGAAAUAUAUACUCUUAUUUAUUGAUAUUUGGUAACUAAGCAAAACAUUGUUUGUCCUAAAAACAUUUAUAUAUAGAUAAAAGAACACUAUGGACAAGGGUGUGGUAGGCAGUGAGGUCGUCAUGGGUGGCGGGAGGAAGACAAAUCUUAGAAUAUAAAGUUAACUUAUAGUGAGAGUCUUUUUUCUCAAACCGAUGACUCACAUGUUCAGUAAUGCUAACUAUUAUAAAAGAAUGCCACCCCUCAAAUCUAUCAGUUGUUGAAUCUCGUACAAGUUAAGUUGCAUUGACUGCAAGCGAAACAUGAACACUUUAAGUAUACAUUGAUCAUGCCUUCUCACUUUGUGUAUAUUGUCGUAUAUAUUAUAGUAGUAGUGUGGUGAUUGACCUCAAUACUAAUGGUGAUCUCAAAGUUAAACAAAUGAAUGAAGCCAUGAUCGUAUUGGAAUAGAAGCACAAAGCAGUCAAUAGCAAUUGAUUCCCAUCUAUCAAUAGAUCGCAAGUUAACUUUCAAACUCAAACCACUUGAAAUUGAAUUGCUGCUUCUUCUUUUUCUCGUCAUUGAUAGAGUGGUAUUCUCCACGUUAACCCUUAUGAAAAAGGGACAAUCCUAUCAAACAUAAGAAGAAGAAUCACGUAGGCAUUGCAAGCCGGUAAAAAACACAAGGACCGAUACUCUCAAAUAAGCUUAUUACACGAAUCAUCCAACGCGCAAACCAAAGGCAAUACAAGAAGUACUAGUUCAUAGUUAAUAAAAUUAACCCCAUGCACAAAUGUUGCAACCUUCUUUUCCUCAAGGAUAUGAAUAUAUCCAAUGAGAGAAAAAAUCUUUAAUAUUACCUGAGUUAUGAAACUAUUGCCUAGUUCAUGAAAUUAAAGUACCUAGGAGCAAGGAGGAGGGUUGAAUUUACUUUACUAUGCAAUCAGGUUCCUAUUUACAGGCAACUACAGGAACUCCAAAUUGCUGUAAGCAGUGCCAUCAAUCCUCGCAGUAACCAGGGUUAGGAUCUGCAACAUGGAUGUCUCACAUAUUUUUCUGGGUUAGGACGAAGAAAAUCAUAGUCAAACAAACAUGUCUCAGCAUCCCAACCACUCUUGAAAACCUUUUUUCCUGAUAAAUCACCGAAUUCUGCUACUUGCUCGAUGUCGUUGCCGCCUCCUUGAUCUUCCCAAUAAGAGCCUACUGUGAAGUCGAGAGAUUCUGUUGAAAACAUUAGAUGCAGCCUCAGUGCCAGAAUGAUGGACAAAAAAAUCAUCCUGAUCAAAUGAAUGAUACCGAUCAUCGAAAAGUUCAUCUGGGUGGACAUUAUCAUUCCACAGAUCACUAAGAGGGUCUGACCUUAAAACAGUCUCAUCGAGAUGGUUAUCCAAUCCAAAAUUCCUGUGGAGCCCUCCAAAAUUACCAUCUAUUACAUAAUCUCCCAUUACAAUUGCCCCAGGCAUGGCAGACCUGAUUGUGCUAAACACAUCGUUCAACUCUCUCUCAUGCUCAAGCUUCUUCCAUUUCUCUGCAAGUGAAGGGUCUACUUCUAGGGGGCGUGCUGAAGGAUGCUCCCGCCUUACAUGUUUCCUUAGCUUUUUGUACGUUCCAACAAACGAGCAAUUUUCAUGCAUGCAUGUUCUCUUCUUUGCAUUUAGAUGCUUGCGUGCAGGUUCCACAACCGUCCAACCCUUUACCUGCCCACGACAGAGUGGGCAUAUAAGUACAGUUGCCCCAGCUAAACAACCUGCUCCUGACGAGCAAUAAGGAUCAUCAGUUGACAGCAACCCUGGUUCAGAGCCCUCAAUUGAAGUGACUUUAGUAUACGCUUUCUUGUACUGCUCAAGACAAUUUGAGAAACGGCAGCUAGUGGCACACAUAUAAGGACGACAUCCCUUGUCAUAAGAUGAGCACAGCAGCAGCACUGCAUUGUGAGGGUGCUCCAUACAAACUGAGCAAGUUGCCCCUUCCCAUUCUUUCUUCUCUGAUGAUUUUGGCCGUUUCUCCUUUUGGUGAAGCUUUUUGCACAUUCUUGAGCGGCAAGACGGCAAAUCAUGGUGAUGGAAAUCAGCUAUCCGUCGCACCUUGCUUGGUUUUGUCAUUUCUGGUAAAGAAGACACAGUCCCCACCCGCAAAAUAAAGGGAACAAAGAAACCAAUGGGAUAGGGUGGGGGAGGGGAAGAGGUUAGUAAACCAGAUUUUUGCUAAACAAGCAAAGCUUAAACUAUUAAAACAAUAACAGGAAAGAAGGAAAAGAUAUCAUGCAAGGUUUCAAAUGUUUCUCAAACUCUACAUUUAGAACUUGAGCGCAUUCAGAUAUGUUGCUAACACAGAUGAAUUUGCUGUCUUGAUGGAAGAAAGCUAGAGGAUAAAAGAUGUCUUAAAUCACCAAAACCUGUUUAGUGCACACAAUGCUGAUCCGCAUAACAUGAGAACUAAAUUAUUAACAAUUUUAGGAAGUAGAGCAGGUAAAUAUACACCAGUUAAAUGCACAUGUAAUGAAGCAUCUCAACCACACAAGAAGAGUGCUCCAUGAAAAGCCAACCCCCAGCACAUGCUUUUCUUUUUGUUAUUGAUAAGCAUGGUGUCCAGGCCAGUUUGCAUGCAGUACGCACUUAGAACAAUUCCACGGGAUACCGCCACCUCUAACCAGUAACAGAUAUAAGGUAACUUUGACCACAAGGCUAGAACCAAUGGGAAGAAUUCACCUCCAACACAUACUGGUGCUUCAAAAUAGAUUCCAGUGGACCAUAAAGUUUAUGCCUUUUACAGGUGCAUUCGUUAAUUCACCAACUAUUCACGCCGACUUUUCGUUAAAAAUCACAAAGGUACCAGAACUAAAAGUUAGAGCCUCUCUAUUUAUAUCAUCAAUAAAUUUAAAAUAGCAUACAACACUCAAUCAUAGGUAAAACAUUUAAAGUGAAAAGAAUGGGAACAAUAACAUAAAUUCAAAUUAACCAACUUCACAAAAUGAAAAAGAAAAAAGAUAUGAAGAAAAGGAAGGAAAAGAAUUGUAGUUAGCUAAUUUAGAUAACAAAAUAGGCAUCGUCUUCUAUAUCAAUUGUCAAUGCCAUGAUUUUGGUAUAGGAUUGAGAGAACAACUACAGGCUAACGUGACUGAAAAAGUUUAUCUUUACUCCCUUCAACUCGAUUUAUGUGAUGGUGCUUGACUGGGCACAUAGUUUAAGAAGGAAAGAAAAGACAUUGGGACUUGUCUGGUCUAAAAUAAACCAUAGAUAUUUAAGUGGCUAUAAAUCAUCUCAUUAAGGGUAAAAUGGGUAUUUUAAAGUCAAAUUGUUACUAAUUAUAGAAAGGUGACAUUCUUUUUGGGAUUAACUACAAAAGAAAAUAGUGUCAUGUAAAAUUAAGCCGGAAAGAGAAAAGGAUGGUGUUUGGGACAACUUGUGUACACCUCAAUUAUUCCACCAAAUACAUGCUACCUUCGACAAGUACAGCCACCGGAUACCGGAUAACUCUGUCUAACAAAGCUUAGGAAGAUGGAAAUUAAACCCCGAGCUCCACUUAUAUUAAUCACUAGGCCACACUAUUAGUUGCUAGAUUAAAAAAAAAUGUUUUUUAAAACAAAAUUGGCAAGAGCUAAAUAGGCAUUGCCUCUCUAUAAACUCCCCUGCCAAUGACAUGAUUUUGAAAUAGGAUUGAGAGAAUGUCAAUAGGCUAACGUCACAGGGAGUUUAAUUGCACAAAAUUACUGACCAAAAAAGUUUUAUUUAUAAAGACAGUGUUUAGGCCAACUUGUGUACACCUCGAUUAUUCCAACAAAUACCUGCUACCUUCCACCAAUAAAGUACCGGGAAACUCUAUCUAAUAUAACAUAAGCUCUCUACUGAAAACUGAAUCAUGAUCUCCAAGAGUUUCACCCUCUUUAUAAACCACUAGGUCAGACCCUUGAGUGCCUAGUAAAAGAGUCCCUUUUUAACACAAAAUUGGAGAGAGAACAGUGUUGCCACCCUAUCUUAAUGAACAUAUGUCAAUGCAAAUUGUAAGCAAAUUGAGCGUUUUAAUAUAUAGUUUUAAAAUCUUAUAUAUCUUUUUAAUAUCAGGAUAUUUUAUAGAUAAGAAAUACGAUUCUUUUACAUUUGAACCACAUCCUUUAACAUAGGAGCAGGGUGAUACCAAAUCCCCCACCCCACAAAAACAUUUCAAAUUUUCAUCAAGCCGACGACAACAAUUUUAUAACCAUACCCUCUACCAUCUGAGAGAGCUAAGUUUAAAUUAUGUACUCCCUUUGUCCCAAUUUUGUGGCAGCCUGUGGAUUUUGAGAAUCAAUUUUUUUAAUUUUAACCGUGAAUGCAAAAAUUAAAUCUUGAUUUUUUAUUGGAAUAAAAUUUACAAAUUUGAAACUAUGUAAAAUGUAUUAUAAGUCACGGUAAUUGACAAUUUAAAAAAUUUGCAAGCCAUUUGAAAAAUAUUUAGUCAAAAAAAAAACUUGUUUGACUUUCAAACCCAAAAUGUGCCACAUAAAUUGGGAUGGAGGAAGUAUAAAAGAUGAGCAACAUAAUCAGCUAGAUAGCCUAGGUUGUUUAACUUGUAAAAGAACAUUAAAGAUCAAAAUCUCUCUCAAUAUCCCAACUUUUGGCACUUUGCAACCCAAAUAUAUGAAAACAACAGUAAUUGUGCCUGAUCAAAACUCAAAUAUGAGCAGCAAGGUCAUUCAAAACUAGGAGAAUAUUGAUCCUCCAAAUUGUGUUCAGGGAUCUUCAUCCUCUAACUAUGUUUUUAACAAUUUAUACAAGAUAUCCACAACAAACUGAACAGAACAAUAGAACAUAAUAGCUCAAUUGUAACAGUUAAUAGCAUCAUCAUCACUUCAAACAAGUACUUAUGUCCCAAACUCGCCCUUUCGAACAGGAUUCCCAUUUAUCCUCUUUUCAAUUAAAGAGAACUAAUAAGAUAUUUUCAAACAGAUUAACCAUUGCAAUACAUAGAAAAACAAGCCAGAAGGUCCUAUUUAAAAACAUCCAAACAAGAAAAGUGACCAAUUUUCCGAUUCCAACUAUUAAGUAACACUCUCAGGUAAUGUUAUCCAUAACAAGCCUUUUUGCUAACUUCACAUUACCUUGAGAGAGUUUUAGAAUAUGUUAGGUAAAUAAAUGCAUAGUAUAGAGACAAAAAAACAACACAACCUAUAAACACUACCAAAACUUAAUCAAUAAGCAAUCUACUCAGAAACGAGAAAUAAAAAUCAAUCUGCUCCAUUUAAACACAAACAUUUACAUAACUAAAUCAAUUAAAGCAGGAAUCAACCAAUCGAAAUCCGGAAAACGGAUACUUAGUAACAAAAACAGAUCAGAUCUUGAACAAAUGUACCUGAAUACCGUAACGAAUCGAUUACAGGUUAGGUUUAUCUGCACUUUUGUAUAUAGACCCGAUUUGAAGAAGAAAAUUUGUAUGGAGGAGAGAGAAGGAAGGAGAGAGAAAGUGUGUAUGCCCUACUCUCCUCGCUCCUCUAAUCUUUCCGGAAGAUUUGAGGGUUUGCGUCCAACAAUUGCUUUCUCUCUCCAGUUUUCGCUACUUUCUGCUGUGGGCUUACACUAUAUCUGUGCAAUUUACAGUGACGGGUCGGGUUGCUUCCUGUUUUAGGGCAGAAAAAUACAUAAAUGAGUUUUAAAAUUUAAUAUUUUUAAUCAGCAUUAAAUAUUUAUCGAAUUUAUAGUUUAGAUUUGGCGAGAAUAUAAGAAAAAAAAGAUUUCCACCUGAAAUAAAGUUCUAAUAUAUCCUAAGAUAUACAAUCAUAAAAAGAAAUUAUACCUUAAAAAACUAUACCUCCAAAUGUCAAUUUCUCCAAAAUUUCUUUUCUUUCGUAAAUAUUGACGGAGAUUAAAAAUAAUAACUUCUGAUAAAUUUACUUAAAGGAUCAAAUUAUUUGGUGCCUACUCAAGAAAUAUUUUAAACCUGAGUAUAAAGAAUAACUUUUGUUAUUUUCUCUAACUUAGGGAUUCCCUUGGAUGUAAAUGCAACAUCAACAUAGUGGAGUCAUAUUUAACACAUUGUGACGCCAUUAUUUCAUCGUGGUGACUUUUUCACUGAGGAAUAUGUACCUCUAUUAUAUUAAUUAAUAAAUUUAGAAAUUAUCGUAAUUUAAUUAAAGUAUAUUUACUAAAAUAUGAUUUUAUAUUAUUGUCAGUGAUGUUAAAAUGUCCCCAUUAAAAUGUCAGAUUUUGAACCUGAUAGCACUUACAAUUCAGACCCAAUAUCACUAUUAACUAGUUCAAAUUUUAGUAGUUAAUAAUGCUUCCAUAGUAAUAUUAUUUGUAAAAUAGUGUAUACUUGAGAAAGCUAAAAUAAAAAUGAAUCAUUUUCAUUCUAUCUAAAUAAUAUAUAGCAGAACCAAAACUAUUGUUUUUUUUAAUAAAAAAAAGUUGCAAUCUUUCAAAAAUCAACGCAUCUUAAAUCUGUUUAGACAAUGAACUCUAUAUUCUUGAGCGCAUUUCCCCAAAUUAUUAGAUCUUCAACAUGUUUAUACCCUUCGUUGGCACAUUAGUUUAUCUCUCUCCCCGGAUAUGAUUGAUAAAGGAGCAGAUACCGUAUACCAAUAUAAUUCUUUUUCAAAUUUUCAAAGCUAGCGUAUUAUCUAAUAAACUUACUUUUGUUAUGUCCAUUAUCCCUGAAAAACGAACAAAUUCUCCAAAAAGUUUAUAAAAUUUAAAGGCAUUUGAUGCUUCUGAACCAAUUCAAAAAGAUUCCCCAAAGAAAUCAUUCUUGUACUGUAAUACUUUUGGACGGCUUCCUCGAUUUUUAACUGGUAAAGUGAUUUAAAACUAAUUUCAUUUUCUUAAAAACCUGUUAGUAUAUUCUUUCUCCAAACAUCUAUACGACAUACUAUCCUAUUAAACCCAUACUAGUUGAAGUAAUCUGUUAUUUAUCAAACAAAUUGGAGUUUUUUUUAAAAAAAAAUGUGAGUAAUUUAGAGUGAAUUCUUUUUUGAUGUUUUUCAAAAACCUGAAUAUUCCAAAAUUCUGAAUUUUUCAAAAAUUUUUAUAGUCAAACGUGUUUUUCAGAGUUAAACACCCUCUUUAUUCACAUGAUAUCAGAACUAGACUCUUCUUUGUUCUUGGUUUAUCUAAGGUGAAUCUCCAUAUUAUUGUUCAUGCUCCAAAUGUUCAUAAAUCUUUCUUCAUAUCAACCAGGCUUAACCUCACUUCUAACUUACCGAAUCUCGAUCCCCCAAGUUAUAUGGUCACGCUCCAGAUAUCCAACUCUAGACAUGCAAGAUUGUUGUUGUUCCACAGUAGUUGACAUGUGUUCACUUCUAUCAACUAGCUUUUGAGGUUGAGUCAAAGACAAAAUACGCACUUUCCUCAUGGAGGCAGAGUUUUUAAUUUGAUCAAGUACCUUUUUCUUUUCCUUUAAACGUGAAUCAAAAUCCCAAAGUUGAUUUCUUUUUUCGUUAUUCCAUUUUAUCAAUUUGCAGAGAGGGAAAUAUAACUAGUUAGGCGUAUGACUAGUCCCACAUCGGUGUGGCAACAUAUUUGUCUGUUGUUUAUUAAGUGAACAACUACGGUUUAAGGACACGACCCUACUUGAACAGGAUCUGUUCUAUAGACUCGUACCACUUCUAAGGAGACAGGAAAUCAAGUAUGGUUGAUGAAGCGUGGCCAUGUGACCAGAUGGUCUCCUGGCUGUCUGACAGACUCCUCAAACUUUUUGUUUGUUCCUCUUUCGUUUUCCGAAUACUAGCUUUCUAUUUCAACACUGUUUGCUUCCAUUUUCAGCUACUCUUUGAUGAUACUUUCUGACUGCAAUUUAGAGUUCUUGGUCCCAAAAAGAAAAAUAAAGUCUUCGUUGAGUAAGAAGGCUAGUAGCUAGAAAGCGACUUAAGAAUGGUUCUUCAAGCUAUUCGACUUACAUAAACUCAAGGUUGUGAUUCAAGCGCAGAAAGAGAGGAGAAGCUCACUGAACUUUAAUGGUUGAUAAAUAAUAUGAUUGUAUUGUAGUAUUAGAAGACAAGAUAGUCAUUGAGUUGUUUACUUACAUAGUAUUAGAGCUGCUAGGAAGCUUAUCGUUUGGUAGAGUGUAUAAAAAUAAUGUUAAAUUGAGUGUAUUAGUAAUGCUUGCAUUAGUUAUACAUAGAUUAUUUUUAAGCAUUGUUUGGUUUGAUUCAUUAAAAAUAGAAUGCAUUGCAUUAAAAAUAAUAAUUUACAAAAAUACCCUUCACUAAUAUGGUGGAAAAGAUACAAAAAAGGUAUUAAGGGGCAAUUGAGUUAAUGCAUGCAUUAAAACCAUUGCAUUGUUAAUACCUAGAAAUCCAUGGUAUUAGCAAUACACACCUUAAUACACAAUAGGGUGUAUAACUAAUGCUUGCAUUAGUUAUACAUAGGCUGGAAAAGAGCAUCAAACAAGGCAUACACAAGGCUAAUGCAUGCAUUAGUUUUUUUAAUACACUCUACCAAACGAGAGUAUUACAGUUAAUGUAAUGGUAUUUUCCACCUGAAAGGCUGACUUGAAUUAAUCCAAACUGGAUGUCUGGCACGAUCCAACUGUUGAAUGUAUGUAAAUUGAACAAUAGUAAUAUACAGAAGUAACAAUCUUUGUAUAGCUAUCACUUGUGUUAUUGCUGACAAAGAAGGGCAGCACCUACGAAACUUUAUGAUCAAAUAAGCUUUGCUUUGCACUUGGCAUAUCACACCCUGUUACUGAUGCAAACAAUCUGUACACAUGCCUAACUUGUAGAUAAAAUAUAAUAGGAGAAUAACCGAGUUCCUGAUAGUCAAGGAUCCUUACAAAAACAUGUGAGCCAAAAAGUGGAUCAUGGCAUAUGAAUCCUCAACAUUUUACAGACAAUACUGGGAAAAACAACCCCCUUCUUCAGAAUGUAUUAGAAUAAUAAAAUACACACAGGAGUGAAGCACUAAUACGCAACCCACACAUCUUCAUCCUUACAGCUUCAAAGCUGCAACCUUAUCUAAAAACCAAACUAAUUCUCCUUCGGGUGAAACCAUCUGCACAGGCAGCAAAUCAGAACUUAUAUCAUCACCUAGUGAUUUAUACACUACAUCUGCCUUCCCAGCACCUACUAUAGCAAGUGCAAUAUUUGCAGAUGAGUUUAUUACAGGGAAUGUAAAUGUAAUCCUGUUCGGUGGAGGUUUUGGAGAGUCUUUGAUGAAGGUGACCCACUUCUCUUUCUCAUGGACAAGAGGAUGCCCGGGAAACAAGGAAGCUACAUGUCCGUCUGGACCCAUACCCAAUAGCAUUACAUCAAAUUUUGGAAAUACACUCUCUUUAGAGAUGUCAAGAAUCUUGCUCUUAAUUAAGUGCCUUAGACAAGUCUCGUAAUCAUCUGCCGCAGCCUCUGCUGAUAAUGCAUCAUUUAUGGCAUACACAUGACCAGCAGGAAUAGGUAUCUGCCAAAGAGAAGUAAAGGUGAGGUUAGAAGUUUGGUAGAAAGAAUUAAAGAUGUCAACUGAGAAUAAUGAUGAAGUAAGAGUUAUCAUCAUUCAUAAUAAGAUCAAACAAUGUAGGCAGUUCACAUGUGAAGCAAGUACUAUGAGCAAUUUGAAAUCCAAAAAGAUGCCCUUGGCAGUUAUGCAUCACUAAACAUCUUUUCUGAUACAAAUUGGAUAAUUUAGUUCACAACCAUCUUUAUUUAAAUACUAUGUGCUUAAGAGCUAGUCAGACUGCCAAAAAAGAAUUAAGAUGUCAAGGCAACCCAACUUGUUAGAGAUAACAAAGAGCCUUUAACUGAAAGUAAGUAGGUCAACAUUGAGGGUGCAAUUCAAACCCACUUAUUCAUCCUUAUAUUAGAAGAAAUUCAACAAAGUCAACAUAAAGUGUCCAAUUGAUCUUAUCGGCAGCUCCACAUGGUAUUGAGUUGGGCAAUCUUUGCUCUUUAAGUUUCCCAACAUGCAUAAUUGACAAUUGUGCUUAAGCUAUAAUUACUUUUCAGUUGAUCCUCCCUCAACCCCACUAAACUCUUCUAGCUACAAAAAUCUCCAAAUCAUUUCUCAUUAAGUAAUCUCUACCAUUGUAAAUGUUUGAAAAAAGGGACCUCAGUUGUUGUUUAAGGAGGGCUUCAGGGGUUGACAGGUUCUAUAAGAAGUAAUUUUGUAUCAGAAUUUUGUGAAUCAAUGUUUUCUAAAAAAAAGUGAAUUUGAACCUGUUUAUUCCAAUACAGUGCAAGAUUUCUUUUAAUUUGUUGCUUUUACAUGAAUUACGCAACAUCAUCACAUAUCUUAAGAAAAUGUAAUCUAAAACUUAUUUAACAUACAGCUUCUCCACACAGUUGGUUCCAUGAUAGAUAUGAUCAUGUAUACCAAUAGCUUGUCUUUGUCACAUAUCACCAAACCACCCCCCCCCCCCCCGAAAAUAAAUAUAUAUAUUUAUAUAUAUAUAUAUAUAAGUAGAGAUUGUUUCUUCCAUCCAUAUAGGUAGAGAUAGUUUAUUAUUUGAUCUAUUGAACAGAGAGUGCACAAAAUGUGUUAAAGAUAAGAAAUCUAAUGUGAAUUACAUAUUAACAGGGAACAUCAUAUCAUUUUAGUUCUCACUAAUACAUUAGCAGGCUUAUCUUACUCAACUUCUUAAUCUAUGGGACUGCAGAAAAAGACAUGUUUAUAGUAUGCAUGACUUGCAUUCCUUGUUACCGCUGGCCUAACGCCCUCACAUAAUUACUUUCUCAACUGAUUUUCCCAAAUAUUUCAUCUGGAGUUGAUGAAUGAGAAUCUAAAUAACUCUAGAUGUAUUCUCCAUCAAUACUGUGCACUUUAAUCUCUGUUCACAUUUCCCCCCCUAAAACUUAUUUCUUAAGGAGAUUGAGACCAUCAGCAUAGCUCGUAACUAGAAAAAAAAUAACUUUUUUUAUAACCUGGUGUCGGGGAGCCUCUACUAAUACUUUGGGGUAUCUGAUUGAACAGAUGAGAAGAAAUCACUAGUGCAAUAAACCUACUGCGUCCCACAUUUUGACCGGGCAAACAAGCAAAAGAUCACAAAAGUUGGGGGAAAAAUAACAAAUAAACAGAGGAGAGGUGAAAUAUAAUGGGUAGAAAGCUAAUGAAGAAACUACAAAGUACACACUGUGGCAGCACUACAUAAAAUCAAUAUAUUGUAGGAAGAGCAGCAAAUAUACCUUGGAUAGAAAACCAUCAUAAGUAAGCAAAUAAUUGCUGUCAGGAUGAUCCCUUGGAACCACUCUCUCAUCCACCCAGAAAACGUGCCAUUUGGACCAGUCUAUUGAAUCAAAAUAUGGUGGCUCCACCAAUUUCCUGCAACAAACAACAGCAACCCAAAAAAAAUCCCCAAAAUGAUACUUCCUAGUAGAAACGAAGAGAAUUAAUCAAUCAUUACCUGAGAGACUUGACAAGUGAACCACCGGAAACAACCACAGUAAAAGCAUCUCUCUCCUUACAAAAUUUCUCCGAUAAAUCCGCAGAGUACUUCGCUAGAGCCACAGCAAGUUCCUCCUCGGAAUCGUACACUUUCACUUCCGCUUUACUUUUCCCGGUCAUUUUCUCAGCCAUUGAUGAUUUUGUUCUGAACUGAGAUCUCGAAGAAUUUGUACUCAACACUGAGUUUCUCCGAUGCAGGUGGGAGCAGAAAAGUGGCUUUCCAGCAACGGACGGAGAGGUCAACGGAAGAGUUCGUCGGAGAGGAGAGAAUCGGGUAGGUGAGAUGUGCAAGUUAGCAGAGAGAGCGGGAGGAGAGGAAGCUAAGUUCAGUGCGCACUCUGCCAUGUUAAAUAAGAAUGAAGAGACUUGUCCAUCGGCCUUGCGUCCAACAAUUGCUUUCUCUCUCCAGUUUUCGCUGCCUUCUGCUGUGGGCUUACACUAUUAUAUAUCUGUGCAAUAUACAGUGAUUUCAUCUUCCUGUUUUAGGGCAGAAAAAUACAUAAAUGAGUUUUAAAAUUUACUCCUUUUUAAUCAACAUUGAACAUUUAUCGAAUUUAUAUGUUAGAUUUGACGAGAAUAAAAGAAAAAAAAAAGAUUUCCACCUGAAAUACUAAGAAAGUUCUAUUAUAUUCUAAAAUAUACAAUCACAAAAAAAAAUUAUACUACACACUAAUAUAAGAUUCAAAGAUUAGUCGAAAUUAUAUCUUAAAAAACUAUACCAGACUUUAGAAAUAAAACAGAAAUAGUAACUAUAAGAAUUAUACCUGCAAGGCUCCAAAUGUGAGUUUCUCCUAAUUUUCUUUUUCUUCAAAUCUAAGUAUCUAGCCCAUGGGAUUUGGUAAAUAUUGACAGAGAUUAAAAAUGGGAUAGGGUGGGGUAGGGAAAGAGGUUAGUAAAUCAGAUUUUUUCUAAACAAGCAAAGCUUAAACUAUUAAAACAAUAAUUGGAAAGAAGGAAAAAGAUAUCAUGCAAGGUUUCAAAUGUUUCUCAAACUCUACAGUUAAAACUUGCGCGCAUUCAGAUAUGUUGUUGUUAAAACAGAUAAAUUUGCUGCCUUUGAUGAAAGAAAUCUAGAGGAUAAAGAUAACUUAAAUCACCAAAACCUGUUUAGUGCACACAAUGCUGAUCCACAUAACAUGAGAACUAAAUUAUUAACAACUAUAGGAAGUAGAGGAGGUAUAUAUACUGCAGUUAAAUGCACAUGUAAUGAAUCAUCUCAACCACACAAAAAAGAUUGCUCCAUGGAAAGCCAACCUCCAACACAUGCUUUUCUUUUCGUUAUUGAUAAUCGUGGUGUCCGGGCCAGUUUGUACCAUCACCUCUAACACAUACUGGGUGGUUCAAAACAGAUUCCACUGGACCAUAAAGUUUAUGUCUUUAUAGGUGCAAUCGUUUAUUUGACAACAAUUCAUGCCGACUUUUUGUUGAAAAUCACGAAGGUACCAGAACUAAAUGUUAGAGCCUCUCUAUUUUUUAUUUUUUAUUUUAAAAUAGCUUACAACACUCAAUCAUAGGUAAAACAUUCAAACAUAGGUAAAACAUUUAAAGUGAAAAGAAUGGGACCAAAAACAUACUUCAUAAAAAAAUGGGAACAAUAACAUAUAUUCAAGUUAACCAACUUUGCAAAAAGAAAAAGAAAAUAGAUAUGAAAAAAGGAACGAAAAGAAUUGUAGUGAGCUAAUUUAGAUAGCAUAAUAGGCAUUGUCUUCUAAAUCAAUGGUCAAUGACAUGAUUUUGGUAUAGGAUUGAGAGAACUGCAGGCUAACAUGAAAAAGUUAAUCUUUACUCCCUCCAACUCGAUUUAUGUGAUGGUGCUUGCCUGGGCACAUAAUUUGAGAAGGAAAGAAAAGACUUUGGAACUUGUCAAGUCUAAAAUAAACCAUAGAUAUUUGAGUGGCUAUAAAUCCUCUCAUUAAGGGUAAAAUGGACAUUUUAAAGUUAAAAUGUUACUAAAUAUAGAAAGGUGUCAUUCUUUUUGGGACUAACUAAAAAAGAAAAUAGUGUCAUAUAAAAUUAAGACAGAAAGAGUAAAAAAGAUGGUGUUUGGGCCAACUUGGUACACCUCAAUUAUUCCACCAACUACAUGCUACCUUCCACUAGUACAGACACCGGAUAACUCUGUCUAACAAAGCUUAGGCAGAUGGAAAUAAAACCCGAGCUCCACUUAUAUUAAUCACUAGGCCACACUAUCAGUUGCUAGAUAAAAAAAUGCUUUUUAAAACAAAAUUGGCAAGUGCUAAAUAGGCAUUGCCUCUCUAUAAACUACCCUGCCAAUGUCAUGAUAUUGAAAUAGGAUUGAGAGAAUGUCUAUAGGCUAACGUCAAAGAGAGUUUAAUUGCACAAAAUUACUGACAAAAAAAGUUUUAUUUAUAAAGAUUGUGUUUAGGCCAGCUUGUGUACGCCUCGAUUAUUCCAUCAAGUACCUGCUACCUUCCACCAACAAAGUACGGGAAACUCUAUCAAAUAAAACUUACGCUCUCUGCUGAAUAUUGAACCAUGAUCUCUAAGAGUUUCACACACUUCAUAAACCACUAGGUCAGACCCUUGAGUGCCUGAUAAAAAAGUGCUUUUUUAACACAAAAUUAGUGAGAGAACAUUGUUGCUACCCUAUCUUAAUGAACAUAUGUCAAUGCAAAUUGUAAGCAAAUUGAGAGUUUUAAUAUAUAGUUUUUAACUCUAUUAUACCUUUUUAUUAUCAGGAGAUUUUAUAGAUAUGAAAUACAAUUCUUUUACCCUUGAACUACCAUCCAUCUCUCCUCUUUUCAGUUAAGGAAAAUUAAUAAGACAUUUUCUAACAAAUUAACAAUUGCAAACCAUAGAUAAACUAGCCAGAAGGUCUUUUUAAUAAACUUCCAAACACGAAAAUGGACACAUCUUCCAAAUCCAACUAUUAAGUGAAACUCUUAGGUAAGGUUUUCCAUAACAAGUCUCUUUGCUAACUUCGCAUUGCCUUGAGAGAGUUUUACAAAAUGUUAUCUAAAUAAAUGCAUGAUAUAUAAAUGAAAACAACCCAACCUAUAAACACUACCAAAACUUAAUCAAUAUACAAUCUACUCAGCAACGAGAAAUAAAAAUCAAUAUGCUCCAUUUAAACACAAAUAUUUACAUAACUAAUCAAUUAAAGCAGGAAUCAACCAAUCGAAAUCCGGAAAACAGAUACUUAGUAACAAAAACAGAUCAGAUCUUGAAGAAAUGUACCUGAAUACCGUAACGAAUCGAUUAUAGGUUAGGUUUAUCAGCACUUGGAAGAAGAAGAAAAAUUGUAUAGAGGAGAGAGAAAGUGUGAAAUGCCUUACUCUCCUCGCUCCUCUAUAUCUGUGCAAUUUACAGUGAUUUCAUUUUACAGGUCGGGUUGCUUCCUGUUUUAGGGCAGAAAAAUACAUAAAUGAGUUUUAAAAUUUACUCCUUUUUAAUUAACAUUAAUUAUUUAUCGAAUUUAUAUGUUAGAUUUGACGAGAAUAAAAGGGAAAAAAAAAUUCCACCUGAAAUACUAAGAUAGUUCUAUUAUAUUCUAAAAUAUACAAUCACAAAAAAAAUUAUACUACACACUAAUAUAAGAUAAAAAGUUAAAAAACCAUACCAAACUUUAGAAAUAAAACAAAAAUAGUAACUAUAAGAAUUAUACCAGCAAGGCUUCAAACGUGGGACUCUCCUAAUUUUCUUUUUUUUCAAAUCUAAGUAUCUAACCCAUGGGAUUCAGUAAAUAUUGAUAGAAAUUAAAAAUAUUAACUUUUGAUAAAUUUAACUUGAAGGAUCAAAUUAGUUGGUACAUACUCGAAAAACUAUUUUAAGUCUGUCAUUAAAUGUAAAGAAUUAUUUCAGUUAUUUCCUCUAUUUAGGGAUUUUCUUGGAUGUAAAUGCAACAACAUCAACAUGGUGGAGUCAUAUUUAACAAAUUGUGACACCAUUAUUUCAUCGUGGUGACUUUUUCAUCAAGAAAUGUGUAACUCUAUUAUAUUAAUCAAUAAUUUGGAAAUUAUAGUAAUUUAAUCAAAGUAUAUUUAUUAAACGAUGAUUUUAUAUUAUUAUCAAUUUCAUACUGUUAAAAUUUCACAUUUUGAACCUGAUAGCACUUACAAUUCAAACUCAAUAUCACUAUUAACUAGUUCAAAUUUUAGUAGUUUAUAAUGCUUCAAUAGUAAUAUUAUUUUUAAAAUAGUGUAUACUUGAUAAACCUAAAAUAAAAAUGAAUCAUUUCCAUUCUAUCUAAAUAAUAAUAGCAUAACUAAAAUUAUUGUUUUUUUCGAAAAAAGAAGUUACAAUCUUUCAAAAAGCAACUCAUCUUAAAUCUGUUUGGACAAUGAACUCUAUAUUCUUGAGCGCAUUUCCCAAAUUAUUAGAUCUUCAACAUGUUUAUACCCUUCAUUUGUAGGAAAAUUGACACAUUAGUUUGUCUCUCUCCAGAUAUGAUUGAUAAAAGUAUCGUAUAUCAAAACAGUUCUUUUUCAAAUUUUCAAAGCACGCGUAUUAUAUAACAAACUUACAUUUGUAAGUCCAUUAUCCCAGAAAAAGGAACAAAUUCUCCAAAGAGUUUAUAAAGUUUAUAGGCAUUUGAUGCUUCUGUACCUGUUAUACUUUUGGACGUCUUUCUUUUAACUGGUAAUGUGAUUUAGAACUAAUUCAUUUCUUAGAACCAGUUACAUUCUUUCUUCAAACAUCUAUACAACAUACCCAUACUAGUUGAAGAAAUCUGUUAUUUGUCAUACAAAUUGGAGCCUUUUUUAAAAUUGUUAACUUUUUGAUGUUUGAAAAAAAAAAACCUGAAAAUUCCAAAAUUCUGAAUUUUUCAAAAUUUUAUAGUCAAACGUGUUUUUCAAAGUUAAACGCCCCCCUGAUUUUGUUCACAUGGUAUCAUGACCAGGUGAUGGUUUUAACCAAUAGAACAAGGGGGAUAUGUUUAUGGCACUAGGAGUGAUGAAGGAAAGGCUAUCCUAAAGAUAGUGACAGAUUUGACCAAGAUCCCAACUUAUUUGGGAUUGAGGCAUAGUUGUUGUUGUAAUUGUUCAAGUGACACAAAACAUAAGUAAAUUCUCUUCAACUGAUUGUGUGAAUUUAUAACUAAAACAGAUAUCAAUAAUUAGAUGGCAGAAUUUUUUGCUAUCUCAACUGAAACAAUGGCAGGAAUCAAGGUGCACAGGUAGCAUUUUGAAAUUCUAACACUACAGCUGAUCAAGUGACUAUCAUAAGUAAAAAUAGAUGACAAAGUAACCAUUGGAACGUACAACAAGAUUUCAAAGCCUCCUGCCUAGAUUGAGAGGUGAAGCUGACCCCGAGGAAGAGGGAAGCGUUUGUUUCACAAACGGAUGCUCCAAGAGCUGAGUAGCAGUUGGACGGGCACUUGGAUCCACUUGCAGACAGUGAUUAAUGAAAUUGCGUGCAUCUUCUGAAAGGGUAUUAGGCACAGCUGGAGGUACCCCCUUCCCAAUAUGAAACAGUACCUGCAUUGGCUGUUCUACAAAAUAUACAUGAUCACUCUUCAAAAAUAGUGAAUUUGCACACAUCAGCAUCUCCACAAAGAAGGUGUUCAAUCAAAGAAAUCUUUCUUAUCCCCCCACCCAACUCCCUCUUUUUUCAUUUUUAUAUAAACACGUUAAAGACAGUUGCACAAGGAUAACAUUUUCUAAGUUGACCAUAAUAAGAAAUAUAACGAAAGGAAACCUCAUAAACUAAUAUAGCAUUUGACAGGAGAACAGUUAUUGCUCAUGUAUUAUGAGGUAACUUCCAACUUACAGACUCUUAUUCCUCGUUCGAAAAUCCACACACACACACACACACCUUAAACAGUGGUCUUCCACUAAUCAAAUAUAACUUGCUAAAGAUCACUUAACAUAGCACAGUAACAUAAACAAACACAUUUCAUGUGAGAACAUAGAUCCCAAACAUCUACAGCUAAUGGUGCACACCUCCAAAAAAUUAUCCUCCUUACAAUAACUGGAAAAAGAGAAGACCAAAGUAAAUAGUAGGUCGAAGGCAUGCGUAAUUCCACAAUUCAAUAGCCAUUUCAUUUAGGUACAAAUACAAUUUGGUUUAGACAGCUUAAUUAAGUAUUGAUUUAUACUCUAUAUGUUUCAACAGAUCAUUCCAAUCAUCAUUUCUGGAAUAGGCCUUGUGCACAUCAUCCAAUCAAAGUGAAUAACCAGGUAUCAAAUUUCAAAAAUAAUAAGUAAUAAGUAAUAUUUAGCAUGAAUUAGCCCACCAGAUUAAGGGAUAGUGUAUUAGACCCUCAGCCUCAUGUGGCAAAAUGAAUACCAUUUCAGCAAUAACAGUUGUCUAGAUUUUACCAAUAACAAGUACCACAACAAGCUAUUUCAGGAGGAUUAGGAGGUUAUGAGUUCAAAGCCAUUGAUGAGCAUGUCUGACCAAUCAAUAUUCAAGGAAGGAAAAAGAAUAUGAAGUUUGUGGUAACAUACAUUAUCUAAGUGGGAGUAAGGAAACUGGCGAGUAAGCAUCUCUAGGACAGUGCAGCCAAGGCCCCAUUUAUCAGCUGCAAGUCCAUAACCUGGGUUCUCCCUGUUCACAACCUACAUAGAAGAUGGGAUUCAAAUUUUAAAAAAUGAAAUAAAUAAGUGGAUGUGUUAACAACCCACAAUAAAACUACAUGGUAAACAAAAUUUUGCAGUGGUUCACUCAUACAAACUUGAACUAUCUAUAGAUAUUAGAUUUUCUACCAUAUGUAUUACUAAUUAGUGAUAUAAGUGCAUUGUUUCAUCUAGAAAUACUCCUAUGACUUCCUUUUUGGAUACACAUGAACCCAAAAAGAACACUGAAGAAUUCAUUCUGCAACCUCAAACUCAGAAUAAAUAGACAAGUUAUUUAGAUUUGCUUGUAGAAGUUGUAAAGAAUAGAGAACUCGAGCUACUACAAAACUAUUUGGGCUUAAAUUUUUGGAUUCAGGAGGAGAAGACCAAUGAAAUGUCACAUCUAAUAUUUAGAUAUAGGCCAAUACAUUGAUAAGAAGGUAAAUUAAGCAAGCUGACAGAAAAUUAACAAGUCAGGCAAACCUAAGAUCUACAUAUGCAAUGUGAACCACCUCUAUCACACAUCCACACACCACUAAAAAUCUGCAUCACCUAUUUUCAAAUUGAGCUUGACAUACAGGCUCAAUCUUUAACAAAGGAGGAAACAAUUUUCCUCACACUAGAUAUGAGAUCAUAGGUUUGGCCCAUCACCCAUGAGGCAUACGCUAGAAGCUGCUAUCAAUAACUUGGUUUUGAGCUUUUGAAACUGCAAGAAACAAACCAAACAAGUUUCUCUGGCUAGCAGCUUGACACACAAAUCAUUACACAUUGGGUGACUGAGAAACCUUGUCGAGUAGCUAUUUUCAAUAUCUGCCUACAAGCACUAGUUCACUCAAAAGGAUAAUAAUAACUAGAGCAACAACUCAAAUUCAUAUUUAAACAGUUCACCAUGUGAAAAAAUUAACACUAUAAGCUAAGACCACAAGACUCUUAGUGUGCGUGCCAAUUGCGGGUUCUUUCAAAGAUUACUAAAUCCUGUUUCUCAAAGCUGAAUGGUAAUUGCUAAGAAGCAAGUAUGAGAACACGAGACUCCUGUUGCAUGCGGCAAGUACAUGUUUUCCCAAAAGAGUAUUAUAUCCAUUUCUUGAUGCUAAUUGAUGAUUGCUAAGAAACAGGAAUGAAAGAACCCCAAACUCAUUAAUGUACUCGGAAGCUAAAUUUAACACACUUAAAAUUUGAUUUCUGUUAUAUUACGUUGCAAAAUGCACCAACAUUGAUGUUCUUUAUCACACCAAAGCAGUCCCCUAUAAAGAUUUGCAAUAUUACAUAUAUAUUUAGAUUAGCCGAUUUCCUUUUAAUCAUCAAAAGACAAAUCAAAGCUUACCUCAGGAGCCAUCCAGAGUGCAGUACCCUUGAAAGACUUGACAACAUUCAACUUAGUAGCCUGGAUGCAUGUCGAAUGAAUCCACUUAUCAGAAAUUGUGACAUACAAAAAAGAUUAAAACUCCAGGAAGUUUGGAAGACAAUAAAAGCAUCAAAAUGAGAAAGAAAAAAUAAAGGACAAGAAUGCGAUGAAAUGACAACCUUUGCAAGGCCAAAAUCAGCAAGCUUGACUGAUCCAUUAGCAUGCACCAAUAUAUUAGCGCAUUUAAUAUCUCUACAAGAAAAUAAAAUAAAGAAAAUCAAUAUCCUAAGUUAUUGUGCAGGCAUUUUCAAAGAUUUGGGACCCACCACUUUCAACUGCAAUCAAGAUACGAACAAACAUAAAAACUAAAGGAAAACAAUUUUCAUGUAAAUCCUUCUUUUAAUAAAUAAUUUUUCAUAUAGAUAAUUGACUCGUAAAAAUUGUUUAAAGGGCCACCUUCUCAGCAAUCCUUCACAAAUCACAAUUCAGGAGCCUUUUCUUUACAAGUACAAAUUAAUCACAUGCUAGCAUGAGUAUGCUCAAGUUUCUAGAUCAUUUAACCUUACAAUUUCUCAUCUUCCUAAACUUAAACAACAAACCAGAUGAGAAAACAGUGUAUAAAGACAUGCAGUACCACAAUAAAUAAAUAAAAAGUUCAUAAAGAUAUUCUAGAGUCUUUGAAAGCAGAUGAGAAAAGUGAUCGACCACGGUCAAUUAAAUAAAUAGGCAUACUGAAUUCAAAAGAUUCACUUAAAUCUCAUUAACUUGCAACCAUCCGCAAACAACUUACACCCUUCUUCAAAAGAGACAGUAGGCUUAACUCCUAAGUUAGUUCAGUAUCCAGUGUAUCACAAUAAUAGACAUAAGACAUGGGAAACAAAUAAUUAAAAUUGGUAAAAGAGAUCUAAUACAGAUAAAAAGAAGGGGCAGUAUAGAGAGCAAGAAUUUGUUGCUCUGAUUUGUCACCUGUGAACCAUAUUCCGGUCAUGCAAAUACUUCAAACCAUGUAAAAUCUGUCUUGUGUAGGCAGAUACUUGCGAAUCUCGAAGGUGACAUUUCUGGUAAAGAUUCAACAGAGAUCCUUGUGUAACCAGCUCAAGAAAGAUGUACAAUUUCGAAUCAUUCUGCAAAAAAUUUAACCAGGAGUGAAGAAAAAGAUCAACUACAGAGAGAAGAUUGCUAGACAAUGCAAAGGAGAUCGAAGUGUUAAGACCUAUUAUCCAAUUUAGUCAUGGUACUGAAAAACGUGACAACCGAAGUGAAUUUUGAAAGGAAAGACACAAGACAGAAAAUAAACAACAAACUGAAACCUAAGACAGUAUUUCACAUUUAAACUGCCAAAAGUGGAGGAUGAGACAUACAGAUCAAAGAAAUUUAGCAAGGUAAGCAUUUCUGCAUAUAGGAUCAACAUGUACGGAUAAAAUGUGCACUCUUCAGACUAAAGGCUUUUAUAUAAAAAAGUAAUCAUUCACAGGGAAAUAAUUAGAACAGUUCUUCAGAGGGGAGCCAUUUAAAGCAAGCAGAAGCACAAAAUUGAGAAGGCAUUACCUUGUCAGUUCCAUAAUAUUGGACUAUGUUCUCGUGUUCGAACUGUCUAAGAACUUCAAUCUCCUAAAAAGCCAAAUUAAAAAGAAACAUACGCAAAUCAGUGAAAAUUCCACAAAGGUAGAACAUAGGCCACCAAGAAGCACAAAGGAGAAAGCAUGAGAAUCUAGAAAUAUAAUGACAAUUUCAUAUGCUCAUAAUAGUAGCUUCCUUCAUCAUUCAAACUUAUUUCAUAGAUCUUAUAAAAGGAUGGUCCAUUUCUAGUCCAAAUACCUCUUCUUUGUUCCACUUCUAUUAACUUUUUACUGGAGGUGUGUCUCCAAAUUCCAGCACAAAUAAGUAGUUUUUGGAUAAACUCCAGCACCAACAAAAAUAUUGUACAAACCUGCUCAAGUUGGUAUAGACUUUCCCUUCCCCCAUCACCUUGAUCAAGUAAUGACACUUCCUUCACGGCAAAAAAGAAACCAUCACUGCAGCAAUGUGAACACAGAAGGUUACUUUCCAAUAGAAACUGUGAAAGCAGGAAAGGUUAAACAAGCCAUAAAAUUCUAAAAUAUAAACACAUUAGAAAGACCUUUAAAUUGGUGGAAAUAAGAGAGAAGGUUCACACUGAGUAUGCCAGAAAACUAUAAUUUUUAUUAAAAAAAUUGAUAAUUGUGGUGUCCGGGUCAGCUUACGUGCACCUUGACUAGUUCCACCGGAUACAUGUCACCUUCCACCGGCAACAGGUAUCCACUGGGACAGAUGGGAAGAAACCACCUAGAGUUUUUGUCUUUGCUGAGAUUGAAGCCAGAAAAACUAUAAUUUUAUGAAGUACAUAUCAAUCUUUUGUUUCCUUUGUGUGCUUUAUCCAAUUUAGUCAUGGUACUGAAAAACGUGACAACCGAAGUGAAUUUUGAAAGGAAAGACACAAGACAGAAAAUAAACAACAAACUGAAACCUAAGACAGUAUUUCACAUUUAAACUGCCAAAAGUGGAGGAUGAGACAUACAGAUCAAAGAAAUUUAGCAAGGUAAGCAUUUCUGCAUAUAGGAUCAACAUGUACGGAUAAAAUGUGCACUCUUCAGACUAAAGGCUUUUAUAUAAAAAAGUAAUCAUUCACAGGGAAAUAAUUAGAACAGUUCUUCAGAGGGGAGCCAUUUAAGGAAGCAAGCAGAAGCACAAAAUUGAGAAGGCAUUACCUUGUCAGUUCCAUAAUAUUGGACUAUGUUCUCGUGUUCGAACUGUCUAAGAACUUCAAUCUCCUAAAAAGCCAAAUUAAAAAGAAACAUACGCAAAUCAGUGAAAAUUCCACAAAGGUAGAACAUAGGCCACCAAGAAGCACAAAGGAGAAAGCAUGAGAAUCUAGAAAUAUAAUGACAAUUUCAUAUGCUCAUAAUAGUAGCUUCCUUCAUCAUUCAAACUUAUUUCAUAGAUCUUAUAAAAGGAUGGUCCAUUUCUAGUCCAAAUACCUCUUCUUUGUUCCACUUCUAUUAACUUUUUACUGGAGGUGUGUCUCCAAAUUCCAGCACAAAUAAGUAGUUUUUGGAUAAACUCCAGCACCAACAAAAAUAUUGUACAAACCUGCUCAAGUUGGUAUAGACUUUCCCUUCCCCCAUCACCUUGAUCAAGUAAUGACACUUCCUUCACGGCAAAAAAGAAACCAUCACUGCAGCAAUGUGAACACAGAAGGUUACUUUCCAAUAGAAACUGUGAAAGCAGGAAAGGUUAAACAAGCCAUAAAAUUCUAAAAUAUAAACACAUUAGAAAGACCUUUAAAUUGGUGGAAAUAAGAGAGAAGGUUCACACUGAGUAUGCCAGAAAACUAUAAUUUUUAUUAAAAAAAUUGAUAAUUGUGGUGUCCGGGUCAGCUUACGUGCACCUUGACUAGUUCCACCGGAUACAUGUCACCUUCCACCGGCAACAGGUAUCCACUGGGACAGAUGGGAAGAAACCACCUAGAGUUUUUGUCUUUGCUGAGAUUGAAGCCAGAAAAACUAUAAUUUUAUGAAGUACAUAUCAAUCUUUUGUUUCCUUUGUGUGCUGGGCGAUCAAACCAAUAUCUUCUUCACGCAGCCUGACUUUUGUAAAUGAUGUAAACAUUAUCAUUCAGACAUGCUCAGUGCUUUGCACAAUCUGUAAUGCUUCUGUAGCACUUUCGUAGGGCUACCUUCCUAUCAAUAAAAGCUUACACUAAUCUAUCAAGAAAAUCCAACUAGUUGGACUCAUCAAUAAAUCAUUAUUGCAGAAGAGAAAAAAGACAAAUUUUCUUAUUAACCAUUAAGUUCUCUGCUAUGGUCAGAUUAACCAAAUUAUUAUGUAUCUUGAAUCUCAUCAAGAUAGUAAAAAUUCACAAAUAUACUUCCCUUUAUCUAACAGUGUCCUCUCCUAACUGUAGCCAAUCUUCUUCUUUUUUUUUAUAACAAGAAAAACCCGAAGCCGCUACCCUUUGGGUGAUCAUAGGGUAAAACCCCGCUCCUAUGCAAUAGCUCGCAAACCACAUAAGAGAGGUAACCCACACUAGGCAAGCCCGGUGCGACGAGCUCGACCCAGAAGGCAAACCCCUUGCUUUCGCUGUCAAGGGGUUUCGAACUUGAGGAGGGUAACUGUAGCCAACCUUAAAUUACACUGUAUAUUCAUACAAUACAUAUUCAGCACUGAACGUCAAGUAACUAUUUUCUUAACAAUGGAAUAUCUUUUUGAAAUAUAAAGUUUCUUAUACCUUAAAUUGAUUAAUGAUAAUUAGAUAACAGCUUCCAUUACCAAAUCCUCAGAAAUAUAUUACUUCCUUAAGAUUUAGAAUCACAAAUAACAUCUUGUAUUAUCUUGAUACAUCAAAUACUACAUAAGCCUUCAUUCCUUGAAGCUCUAUUUAGUAGUUCCACUUUCGAACAGACAGAUGUGCUUGCCUUCAAUAUAAACCGAGGCUAUGAGAAAUCUGUUUCCUGGUCUAUUAAUUUUGAGAUAAUGAGAUUUUGCACCAAAAUCACAGCCGAGAAAAGUAGCUGUAAACGAAAAAUUUGAUCCACCAUAUAAAGAACCCCAUAAUAAAGGGGUGUUUGUUUCUAGAAAAUCAUGCUAAAAAUUGGAAAGCAAAAAAAAAUAAUGAAGAAGAGUCAUAGCAUUGGGCUUACUGUGAAAUUCCUUCAUAGACGGAUCCAAAAGAUCCACAUCCUAGGAGACCACCCUUGUCCCAUCCUGUAAUGAAGCGUGUGAAUCUCCCAUUCGGUGAGAUGAUUGACAUACUCUCUGUCGUGCCGCUGGAAGAAUCGUCAUCAUUUGAAGUAUUGGCAAAAAUUACUGACCAAAUAAUUUUUAUUUAUAAAGACAGUGUUUAGGCCAACUUGUGUACACCUCGAUUAUUCCAACAAAUACCUACUACCUUCCACCAAUAAAGUACCGGGAAACUCUAUCUAAUAGAACAUAAGCUCUCUACUGAAAACUGAAUCAUGAUCUCUAAGAGUUUCACCCACUUUAUAAAUCACUAGGUUAGACCCUUGAAUGCCUAGUAAAAAAGUCCCUUUUUAACACAAAAUUGGAGAGAGAACAGUGUUGCCACCCUAUCUUAAUGAACAUAUGUCAAUGCAAAUUGUAAGCAAAUUGAGCGUUUUAAUAUAUAGUUUUAAAAUCUUAUAUACCUUUUUAUUAUCAGGAUAUUUUAUAGAUAUUAAAUACGAUUCUUUUACAUUUGAACCACAUCCUUUAACAUAGGAGCAGGGUGAUACCAAAUCCCCCACCCCGCAAAAACAUUUCAAAUUUUUCAUCAAGCCAACGACAACAAUUUUAUAACCAUACCCUCUUCUAACUGAGAGAGCUACUAACCAUACCCUCUACCAUCUGAGAGAGCUAAGUUUAAAUUAUGUACUCCCUUUGUCCCAAUUUUGUGGCAGCCUGUGGAUUUUGAGAAUCAAUUUUUUUAAUUUUAACCGUGAAUGCAAAAAUUAAAUCUUGAUUUUUUAUUGGAAUAAAAUUUACAAAUUUGAAACUAUGUAAAAUGUAUUAUAAGUCACGGUAAUUGACAAUUUAAAAAAUUUGCAAGCCAUUUGAAAAAUAUUUAGUCAAAAAAAAAACUUGUUUGACUUUCAAACCCAAAAUGUGCCACAUAAAUUGGGAUGGAGGAAGUAUAAAAGAUGAGCAACAUAAUCAGCUAGAUAGCCUAGGUUGUUUAACUUGUAAAAGAACAUUAAAUAUCAAAAUCUCUCUCAAUAUCCCAACUUUGGCACUUUGCAACCCAAAAAUAUGAAAACAACAGUAAUUGUGCCUGAUCAAAACUCAAAUAUGAGCAGCAAGGUCAUUCAAAACUAGGAGAAUAUCUCCAAAUUGUGUUCAGGGAUCUUCAUCCUCUAACUAUGUUAUUAACAAUUUAUACAAGAUAUCCACAACAAACUGAACAGAACAAUAGAACAUAAUAGCUCAAUUGUAACAGUUAAUAGCAUCAUCAUCACUUCAAACAAGUACUUAUGUCCCAAACUCGCCCUUUCGAACAGGAUUCCCAUUUAUCCUCUUUUCAAUUAAAGAGAACUAAUAAGAUAUUUUCAAACAGAUUAACCAUUGCAAUACAUAGAAAAACAAGCCAGAAGGUCCUAUUUAAAAACAUCCAAACAAGAAAAGUGACCAAUUUUCCGAUUCCAACUAUUAAGUAACACUCUCAGGUAAUGUUAUCCAUAACAAGCCUUUUUGCUAACUUCACAUUACCUUGAGAGAGUUUUAGAAUAUGUUAGGUAAAUAAAUGCAUAGUAUAGAGAUAAAAAAAACAACACAACCUAUAAACAAUACCAAAACUUAAUCAAUAUGCAAUCUACUCAGAAACGAGAAAUAAAAAUCAAUAUGCUCCAUCUAAACACAAACAUUUACAUAACUAAAUCAAUUAAAGCAGGAAUCAACCAAUCGAAAUCCGGAAAACAGAUACUUAGUAACAAAAACAGAUCAGAUCUUGAACAAAUGUACCUGAAUACCGUAACGAAUCGAUUAUAGGUUAGGUUUAUCUGCACUUUUGUAUAUAGACCCGAUUUGAAGAAGAAAAUUUAUAUAGAGGAGAGAGAAGGAAGGAGAGAGAAAGUGUGUAUGCAGUAUGCCCUACUCACCUCGCUCCUCUAAUCUAAUCUUUCCGGAAGAUUUGAGGGUUUGCGUCCAACAAUUGCUUUCUCUCUCCAGUUUUCGCUGCCCUCUGCUGUGGGCUUACACUAUAUCUGUGCAAUUUACAGUGAUUUCAUCUUACGGGUCGGGUUGCUUCCUAUUUUAGGGCAGAAAAAUACAUAAAUGAGUUUUAAAAUUUAAUAUUUUUAAUCAGCAUUAAAUAUUUAUCGAAUUUAUAGUUUAGAUUCGGCGAGAAUAUAAGAAAAGAAAAAAAAAUUCACCUGAAAUACUAAGAAAGUUCUAUCAUAUCCCAAGAUAUACAAUCAUAAAAAGAAAUUAUACCUUAAAAAAUUAUACCUCCGAUCCAAAUGUCAAUUUCUCCUAAAUUUCUUUUCUUUCGUAAAUAUUGAUGGAGAUUAAAAAUAAUAACUUCUGAUAAAUUAGCUUAAAGGAUCAAAUUAUUUGGGGCCUACUCAAGAAAUAUUUUAAACGUGUCAUCAAGUAUAAAGAAUAACUUUUGUUAUUUUCUCUAACUUAGGGAUUCCCUUGGAUGUAAAUGCAACAUCAACAUAGUGGAGUCAUAUUUAACACAUUGUGACGCCAUUAUUUCAUCGUGGUGACUUUUUCACUGAGGAAUAUGUACCUCUAUUAUAUUAAUCAAUAAAUUUAGAAACUAUCGUAAUUUAAUUAAAGUAUAUUACUAAAAGAUGAUUUUAUAUUAUUGUCAGUGUCAUACUGUUAAAAUGUCCCCAUUAAAAUGUCAGAUUUUGAACCUGAUAGCACUUACAAUUCAGACCCAAUAUCACUAUUAACUAGUUCAAAUUUUAGUAGUUAAAAAUGCUUCCAUAGUAAUAUUAUUUGUAAAAUAGUGUAUACUUGAGAAACCUAAAAUAAAAAUGAAUCAUUUUCAUUCUAUCUAAAUAAUAUAUAGCAGAACCAAAACUAUUGUUUUUUUUUAUAAAAAAAAGUUACAAUCUUUCAAAAAGCAACGCAUCUUAAAUCUGUUUAGACAAUGAACUCUAUAUUCUUGAGCGCAUUUCCCCAAAUUAUUAGAUCUUCAACAUGUUUAUACCCUUCGUUGGCACAUUAGUUUAUCUCUCUCCCCGGAUAUGAUUGAUAAAGGAGCAAAUACCGUAUACCAAUACAAUUCUUUUUCAAAUUUUCAAAGCUCGCGUAUUAUCUAAUAAACUUACUUUUGUUACAUCCAUUAUCCCUGAAAAACGAACAAAUUCUCCAAAAAGUUUAUAAAGUUUAAAGGCAUUUGAUGCUUCUGAACCAAUUCAAAAAGAUUCCACCAAAGAAAUCAUUCUUGUAUUGUAAUACUUUUGGUCGGCUUCCUCGAUUUUUAACUGGUAAAGUGAUUUAAAACUAAUUCAUUUCUUAAAACCUGUUAGUAUAUUCUUUCUCCAAACAUCUAUACGACAUACUAUCCUAUUAAACCCAUACUAGUUGAAGUAAUCUGUUAUUUAUCAAACAAAUUGGAGCUUUUUUUAAAAAAAAAUGUGAGUAAUUUAGAGUGAACAAUUUUUUGAUGUUUUUCAAAAACCUGAAUAUUCCAAAAUUCUGAAUUUUUCAAAAUUUUAUAGUCAAACGUGUUUUUCAGAGUUAAACACCCCCUUUAUUCACAUGAUAUCAGAACUAGACUCUUCUUUGUUCUUGGUUUAUCUAAGGUUAAUCUCCAUAUUAUUGUUCAUGCUCCAAAUGUUCAUAAAUCUUUCUUCAUAUCAACCAAGCUUAACCUCACUUCUAACUUACCGAAUCUCGAUCCUCCAUGUUAUAUGGUCACGCUCCAGAUAUCCAACUCUAGACAUGCAGGAUUGUUGUUGUUCCACAAUAGUUGACAUGUGUUCACUUUUAUCAACUAGCUUUUGAGGUUGAGUCAAAGACAAAAUACGCACUUUCCUCAUGGAGGCAGAGUUUUUAAUUUGAUCAAGUACCUUUUUCUUUUCCUUUAAACGUGAAUCAAAAUCCCAAAGUUGAUUUCUUUUUUCGUUAUUCCAUUUUAUCAAUUUGCAGAGAGGGAAAUAUAACUAGUUAGGCGUAUGACUCGUCCCACAUCAAUGUUGCAACAUAUUUAUCUGUUGUUUAUUAAGUGAACAACUACGAUUUAAGGACACGACCUUACUUGAAUUGUUGUUGUUCCACAGUAGUUGACAUGUGUUCACUUCUAUCAACUAGCUUUUGAGGUUGAGUCAAAGACAAAAUACGCACUUUCCUCAUGGAGGCAGAGUUUUUAAUUUGAUCAAGUACCUUUUUCUUUUCCUUUAAACGUGAAUCAAAAUCCCAAAGUUGAUUUCUUUUUUCGUUAUUCCAUUUUAUCAAUUUGCAGAGAGGGAAAUAUAACUAGUUAGGCGUAUGACUCGUCCCACAUCAAUGUUGCAACAUAUUUAUCUGUUGUUUAUUAAGUGAACAACUACGGUUUAAGGACACGACCCUACUUGAACAGGAUCUGGUACCACUGUAUCCUUGAUUUCUAAGGAGACAGGAAAUCAAGUAUGGUUGAUGAAGCAUGGCCAUUGACCAGAUGGCCUCAUGGCUGUCUGACAGACUCCUCAAACUUUUUGUUUGUUCCUCUUUCGUUCUCCGAAUACUAGCUUUCUAUUUCAGCACUGUUUGCUUCCAUUUUCAGCUACUCUUUGGUGAUACUUUCUGACUGCAAUUUAGAGUUCUUGGUCCCAAAAAGAAAAUAAAGUCUUCGUUGAGUAAGAAGGCUAGUAGCUAGAAAGCGACUUAAGAAUGGUUCUUCAAGCUAUUUGACUUACAUAAACUCAAGGCUGUGAUCCAAGCGCAUAAAGAGAGGAAAAGCUCACUGAACUUUAAUGGUUGAUAAAUACUAUGAUUGUAUUGUAGUAUUAGAAGACAAGAUAGUCAUUGAGUUGUUUACUUACAUAGUAUUAGAGCUGCUAGGAAGCUUAUCGUUUGGAAGAGUGUAUAAAAAUAAUAUUGAGUGUAUUAGUAAUGCUUGCAUUAGUUAUACAUAGAUUAUUUUUACGCACUGUUUGGUUUGAUGCAUUAAAAAUAAUAAUUUACAAAGAUACCCUUUACUAAUAUGGUGGAAAAGAUACAAAAAAGGUAUUGAGGGGCAAUUGGGUCUUUAAUUGAGUUAAUGCUUGCAUUAAAACCAUUGCAUUGCUAAUACCUAGAAAUCCAUGGUAUUAACAAUACACACCUUAAUACACAAUAGGGUGUAUCAGUUAUACAUAGGUUGGAAAAGAGCACCAAACAAGGCACUAUUAAUACACAAGGCUAAUGCAUGCAUUAUUUUUUUUAAUACACUCUACCAAACGAGAGUAUUACAGUUAAUGUAAUGGUAUUUUCCACCUGAAAGGCUUACUUGAAUUAAUCCAAACUGGAUGUCUGGCACGAUCCAAGUGCUGAAUGUAUGUAAAUUGAACAAUAGUAAUAUACCGAAGUAACAAUCUAUGUAUAGCUAUCACUUGUGUUAUUGCUGACAAAGAAGGGCAGCACCUACGAAACUUUAUGAUCAAAUAAGCUUUGCUUUGCACUUGGCAUAUCACACCCUGUUACUGAUUCAAACAAUCUGUACACAUGCCUAACUUGUAGAUAAAAUAUAAUAGGAGAAUAACCGAGUUCCUGAUAGUCAAGGAUCCUUACAAAAACAUGUGAGCCAAAAAGUGGAUCAUGGCAUAUGAAUCCUCAACAUUUUACAGACAAUACUGGGAAAAACAACCCCCUUCUUCAGAAUGUAUUAGAAUAAUAAAAUACACACAGGUGUGAAGCACUAAUACGCAACCCACACAUCUUCAUCCUUACAGCUUCGAAGCUGCAUCCUUAUCUAAAAAACAAACUAAUUCUCCUUCGGGUGAAACCAUCUGCACAGGCAGCAAAUCAGAACUUUUAUCAUCA